ACCAACAGAACGACCAAAGUAAAAAUAUUACCUUUCUAUUUAAUCCAAUCUCGAGUUCAUACAAGAGCCUCAAUUGUUUUGAUAUUUAAUGUGCUCCAUUGCUUAUGAAUCAUAUUUCCCUCACUGCUCAACGCAGCUUCACAAUUAACAGCACAAGCUGGCAUUGCCAGGACAUCAGGUGCCAUAAUUGACAGGGUUAGAUACUUUGUAGAAUUACUCAUCCACCAGUUCAGAAUAUCGAAAUCGUCCUUUCUCGGGACAAGACCAUCUUCAAGGUAGUUGUCAAGUUCUGUCAUUAGUUGACUCCUUGUCUGUGCAUUAAGAUGCUCAUCCCAAUCUUCCAAUGAAUCACUAUCAAAUCCAUCAAACUCAACAAUACGAGCUUCACGAGUUGAUGUGUCAAACCCUGACUUCUCUAAAGGACCACAAUAUUCAUGGAACAGCACCCUUAUUGCAUCACGCACGGCAGAUACAUACUUCUCUGCAUCAGUACCAAAAGCUCGCUUUAGAUGGAACUCAAUAAAAGUAAUUUUGAAUCUCGGAUCAAGAACAACAGGUAUUGACAACCACACGUAUGAACUUUGCCAAUACUCAUUGAAAGUUUCUUGCAUCACCCAAACCAUGUUAGCAAGUUCAGUGUGAUCAGAGGAUGCUUCUUCUUGCAAUGUUGUUCUAACUUUCCAUAGUUCAUUGAAGUAUAUAUUUGCUGUGGAGCAAACAGGACUAGAAAUUACUUCAACAGCAUGAUAAAAAGCCCUCAGUAUCCUGCAAACAGAUUCCACAGUUUUAGUAUCUUCUGCAGAUAACAAUUCUUCCGAGGGGAAUGCCUUCUUGAAAUGCAGAAAAACUUCAAGCCUGAAGUAAAUUUUAUGCCACCAUUUCGCAUCCUCCUGUGGGCACUUCAAUCCAAUAUGUGUAACAACUUCUAAUAUCUCUUACCAUGGAGAAAUAGUUGCGGAGAAGGAUCUGGGAAGUUUCCUUUUGUCAUAGUUUCAAUAUAUAUUGAUCCUAUUGUUUUCCGGCCAUAUCCAACCGCCCAACGUCAUGUCCCAGCCGAACAACGUCAUGUGCCACCUAGAAGGCCUUGGUCGUUGCAUCUUCGCAUCCCCUUGGCUGUGUUUGGAUCCUGGAGCUAAAAUUUAGUCCGUGUCACAUCGGAUAUUCGGAUGCUAAUUAGGAGGACUAAAUAUGAGCUAAUUACAAAACUAAUUGCAGAACCCCUAGGCUAAAUCACGAGACGAAUCUAUUAAGCCUAAUUAAUCCAUCAUUAGCGAAUGUUUACUGUAGCACCUUAUUGUCAAAUCAUGGACUAAUUAGGCUUAAUAGAUUUGUCUCGCGAUUUAGCCUAGGGAUUGUGAAAUUGGUUUUGUAAUUAGCCUAUGUUUAAUACUCCUAAUUAGUGUCGAAACAUUCGAUGUGACAGGAGCUAAAAUUUGCCCGGGAUCCAAAUCAAGGACGGUCCACAGUCAAACUGCAUCCCCCUUUGUCGUUGCAGCUUUGCAUCCCCUUUUGUUUUGUCCUACUCGCUCCAGUCUCCAUCAUGUCCUACUUGCAUCCCCCUUUUGUUUUGCAAGCGGCAAGCCUCCAGCGUCGCUCCAGUUCCCUCCUGUCUUCCGGUCCAACUCAACUCUUGCCUUUCCCUGCUGCUGCUCUAUUUAACAGGGAGUCGCGCAGCGCCGACGCCAAUGCCAAUGAGCCUUACUCGGGGCAGCAGCAGGGCGAUGUACACCGGCCUGAUCAUCCUGUUGCUCGCUGUCGGCGCAGGCAUCAACUUCGGCGACUGCGACGGAUUAUCUGGCCCACUCCUCAGCUUCCUGGGGGUUGUCGCCGGCGCCAACAUGAUCGCCGCCGGCGUCCGGACGGCCGACGACCCAGCAGCACCCAUCGGCCCCGCGCCCGCAGCGUUCGCCGGUGCACGUGCGUUCAUGCGGCGCAACCUCGCCGUCGUGGGGCUCGUCAUGGUUUCCUCUGCUUCCACAGCGGUUGCGGGGAAAUAGGCCCAGCGUUCUCCUUCAUGAUGUUUGUCCUGCUGGUGUUCGGGGUCUCUCUGAUCAACAUCGGAGUUCAUGGCGCCUAGUCUGGUGUGUCAGCUCCGGUCCGUUGAUGCUCGUAUCGUUCUUCAUACGUUGACGGAUGUCAGUAAUCGCCGCCUCCCUCCACGGAUGGUUUUUGAGUAACAACAAUAAAGGAAAUGGAAUUGGAAUUGGAAUUGCAUUUUUUGUUUGAACCGAGGGAGUACUAUUUCUGAAUAAUCAACCAGUAUGUUUUUCCUUAAUUACUACGUGCUUCUUUGUAAUUCAUGAAUUACGUUAGUGAGCUCAAGUACCUUUUCACGGGAACAUGUGAUAUUCCAUCUCCAUGAUUCCACACCUGCUAUCCAAGUUGAGUAGCAGAAGAUGAUCCUGCCCCUACUUUUUCAGCCGCUUUAUUCAAUUGCUUUUGACGCCAGGAGUCGAGACACAAGAUGUAUCCAUGUGGGUCCCGGCGCUGACCUGCGAGAUCCGACGCCACUUUUCGGUUGCAUCCCGAUCAUGGCCACUGCAGUACUAAGACCAUCCAAACAGGACAGCGAUGGAGCUGACGUGGAUGUCUGUCUGGAGAACGGGGUGGGUGGCGUGCAGAUUGCGACGCACCACGACAGAGGCGGCGCGUUCGUAACGGGGUGGGGGGUGUGCCGAUUGCGCCGGCGACGGCGACAGCGGACCGAAUGGACCACCUCGCCUUUUUUUUCCCCCUUCUGCUUCAUAUAAGCCAUCGAUCCAUUGUCAAGGAUUGUUCAGCGCAUAUUUUCGAGGUUGUGGAUCCAUCAAUCCCUUAAAGAUUGGACCCAAACUACCAAGAUGUUGGCCAGAUGUAUGCGCCAGCCAUUGGAAUGGACCAUCGAGAGUCAAAUCUGCAAACUGAGGCAUUGGAAUAUUAGAAUGAGUGUUUGGAUAUUAGGUGUUAAAUUUUAGCAGUGUCCCAUCGGAUGUUCGGAUGCUAAUUAGAAGGACUAAACAUAAGCUAAUUAUAAAACUAAUUGCAGAACCCCUGGGCUAAUUCGCGAGACGAAUCUAUUAAGCCUAAUUAGUCCAUCAUUAUCAAAUGGUUACUAUAGCACCACAUUGCUCGUGAUGGGGCUCGCCUGCGUCCCCUUGGCCGCCGUCUGGGCGAACGUCGGCCGGAUCCUGGUGUUCCUCGGCCAGGACAGCGCCAUCGCCGCCGAGGCCGGCGCCUACGCGCGGUGCCUCAUCCCGUCCAUCUUCCUGAGCGUGCCGCUGCAGUGUCACGUGCGGUUCCUGCAGGCGCAGAGCCUCGUCCACCCCGUAAUGGCGAGCACGGGCGCCACGGCGCUCUGCCACGCCGCCGUGUGCUGGGCGCUCGUGUACAAGGCCGGCAUGGGGAGCAAGGGCGCCGCGCUCAGCAAUGCCAUCUCGUGUGCUGCCAACUUGGUGAUGCUGGCUGUGUACGUCAGGACGUCGAGCGCCUGCAGGUGUACAUGGAACGGCUUCUCCAUGGAGAUGUUUGAGUUUGAGGAGCUUCGAUCGUUCGCCGCCCUCGCCGUGCCGUCCGGGUUCAUGAUAUGGUGAGAUGAUCGGCGCAGCCAUUAAUCUCGGAGCUUUCUACUUGGCGUGAUCAUAUGAAUGGAAAGGUGUAUGGUACGACGCGUGAUCUCAUGGUACAUGACAAAAAGAGUCAUGCCGCACGGCAGCCACCCGGUGGAGAUCUCACGCGAGAGGAGAAAUAGAAGAGAGCACGCAGCACACGAGAUGGGAUUAUGCUGAUCAGGGAGAGGCCGAGGAGCCGGGGCGAAGCUAGAGCCGGAGGAUUUGUGUGCACACUUGACACUUCAAUAUAAAAAUCUUGUCCAAUAUAUAUAAAGUUAAAGGAAAUACUUACCAAAAUAGAGAAUAUGAUACUCUUGAUAGUUAAUAUUAAUAAACACCAGCAAAAUAUUAUACGGUCUGUAUACAAUUGGCAAAAUACACCAUUAAGUUGACUCCUCCACGAGGAAGCGGAUCAUUGUCUGCUGUGUAGAGCAAGUAAUUCGAAGACUUUUGCUUGGGGGUCGAUCAUUCUGGACUUUUGCUUGUAUACAUACAUACAUAUGUAUAUACAUAUAUACAUAUAUAUAUAACUAUACUAAAUAAUACCCUGGGUACAGAAUAAUAUAUAUAUAGGAAUAGCUUAUUCUGUACCCAGGGUAUUANNNNNNNNNNNNNNNNNNNNNNNNNNNNNNNNNNNNNNNNNNNNNNNNNNNNNNNNNNNNNNNNNNNNNNNNNNNNNNNNNNNNNNNNNNNNNNNNNNNNNNNNNNNNNNNNNNNNNNNNNNNNNNNNNNNNNNNNNNNNNNNNNNNNNNNNNNNNNNNNNNNNNNNNNNNNNNNNNNNNNNNNNNNNNNNNNNNNNNNNNNNNNNNNNNNNNNNNNNNNNNNNNNNNNNNNNNNNNNNNNNNNNNNNNNNNNNNNNNNNNNNNNNNNNNNNNNNNNNNNNNNNNNNNNNNNNNNNNNNNNNNNNNNNNNNNNNNNNNNNNNNNNNNNNNNNNNNNNNNNNNNNNNNNNNNNNNNNNNNNNNNNNNNNNNNNNNNNNNNNNNNNNNNNNNNNNNNNNNNNNNNNNNNNNNNNNNNNNNNNNNNNNNNNNNNNUGUGUGUAUGUAUGUAUAUAUAUAUAUAUAUAUAUAUAUAUAUAUAUAUAUAUAUAUAUAUAUAUAUAUAUAUAUAUAUAUAUAUACACAUACACACGCACGCAGGUAUACAUAUAUAUGUGUGUAACUUGGGUACGGGAGGUUGGGGCAAGUAGCAAAGGGAAUAAGCUAUUCCUAUAUAUAUAUGUACGCAGGUAUACAUAUGUAUGUAUUCCUAUAUAUAUAUGUACGCAGGUAUACAAUCUACUAUCUCCAAAGCAUACUACUACGAGUACUACUAUAUAUAUAUCUGUAUAUAUACAUAUAAAUGUCGGUCCACGCGUCCAAUUGGGAAAGUAGGAACCAAAUCAUCAAUCGAGCAUCAAUGCAUCUGGGAGAGGCCAAGAAUCCCAACGCCGAUCAGGGAGAGGCCGAGGAGGAGCAGAGCAAACAUGCCGAAGCAGAGCAGCUGGCCUGCUUCGCUGGAGACCGCCGUGACGGCGCAGGAAGCCACCACGAGCCCCACGACGGCGAGGUUGCGACCAAGGAAAUCUGCGAGAGCACGCGCCUCAGCCAACACCGCAGGGACGACGAGCGCCGGGUCGGCGUCGGACAUCCGAAUGCCGACGGCGACGAUGUUGGCGCCAGCGAGAACCCCCGCGAAGCAGAGUAGCAAGCCGAAUGCGCCGGCGCCGGCGCCGGGGUGGAAUCCGGCGCUGACGGAGAACAGCAAGAUGGCGAGGCCUGCGACCAUCGCCGUGGUGCCCGGAGUGGCCUGUUAUGAAUGAACGGCGUAUGGAAUAUGAAGUAAAGAAUCAAACCGCAAGGAGACACACGAUUUACGUGGAAAACCCCUUCAAUGUGAAGAGGAAAAACCACGGGCACCAGCCGGCAACAAUCUCACUAUGUCAAGAGUUUGGGGGUUACACGCCUACGGCGGCUUACACGAGAAUCUCUCUGUCUCUCUUCUUUCUCGGUACAAAACCCUAGCAAGGGUGCUAGUAUAUGUAGUACCGACACCCAGACAGGGGUUAAUGUGCGGUACGGACUCUUGGUCCCGUACGAGGAUGGAACUCCUCCUCGCCCGACCUUUGAGUCCUUCGUCCUGGAGUCGGGUGCGCCUGGGACAUCGCCUCGUCCGACCCCAAGCCUGGGGUCGGAUGCGCCUGACCCCUUGAGGGUCGAUCUCCGAUUCGCCCGACCCCAAAGUCCAGGGGUCGGGAGACGCUCCGCCUCGCCCGGCCCCGAGUCCCGGGGUCGGGAGAUGCUCCGCCUCGCCCGGCCCUAAGUGUAAAGGGUCGGGAAGGUCGGCCUUUAUCCUGGAGUGAAUUUGGAACAACUCCAACAAACUCCACCUUGAGACAAAUUCAUCUUGUAUCAACAUCCCUUCAUCCUGAACAGAACAAAGACAAAGAAAACCACUGGUGCCAACAAUAGUCUCUUGGACUAUCCGAUUAAACCAACUAAGCCCGAGCACAGCUCAAACUUAGUAACAGGAACAGGCUUUGUCAUCAUAUCAGCAGGAUUAUCAUGAGUACUGAUCUUGCAUACCUUCAGCUUACCUUCUUCGAUCACAUCACGCGCAAAAUGAUACUUGAUGUCAAUGUGCUUAGUUCUUUUAUGGAACAUUUGAUCUUUAGUGAGGUAAAUUGCACUUUGGCUGUCACAGUGCAAACUUAUGCAAGCUUCAAUUCCACAAAGCUCGGUGUACAAACCUUUUAGCCAAAUCAGUUCUUUGCACGCCUCACAAAUCGCCAUAUAUUCUGCUUCAGUAGUAGACAAAGCAACAACCGACUGUAAAGUAGCCUUCCAACUCACAGCACAACUUCCAACAGUAAACACAUAGCCUGUGAGUGAUCUUCGCCUGUCUAGAUCAGCAGCAUAAUCUGAGUCCACAUAGCCAACAAGACCCUCAUCAGUUCUUCCAAACUUUAAACAGGAAUUUGCUGUGCCUUUGAGGUAUCUGAAAAUCCACUGAACUGCCCUCCAAUGUUCUUUGCCGGGAUUAGACAUAUAUCUACUAACAAGGCUCAUAGCAUAUGACAAAUCCGGGCGAGAGCAAACCAUGGCAUACAUCAAAGACCCAACAGCACUAGAAUAAGGAAUCUUUGACAUGUCUUUGACCUCUGCAUCUGUACUAGGACACUGAGCUGCUGACAACUUGAAGUGAGGUGCAAUAGGAGUACUUACAGCCUUUGCAUCUUGCAUGUUGAAACGCUGAAGAACUUUCUUGAUAUAAUUCUGUUGACUAAGGAAGAGCAAACCAGAAUUUCGGUCUCUCCUAAUUUCCAUACCAAGAAUUUUCUUAGCACUGCCAAGAUCUUUCAUAUCAAAACCGCUACUCAAUAGCUUCUUUAAUUUAUUUAUUUCAGUCUUGCUCUUGGCCGCAAUCAGCAUAUCAUCAACGUAUAUCAGCAAGUAUAUAGGUGAUCCAUUAACAUGCUUGAUAUAAACACAGCUAUCAUACUUAGAUCUUUUAAAACUGUGUGAUAACAUAAAUGAAUCAAACCUCUUGUUCCACUGUCGAGGGGACUGUUUCAAACCAUACAAGGAUCUCUUCAACUUGCACACAUAUUUCUCCUUGCCAGGCACUAUGAAACCUUCUGGUUGGUCCAUGUAUAUGUCCUCCUCGAGCUCUCCAUGCAAAAACGCAGUCUUCACAUCUAACUGCUCAAGCUCAAGAUCAUGUGAAGCAACAACACUAAGGAAAGUGCGGAUUGAACUGUGUUUUACCACUGGAGAGAAAACAUCAUUGUAGUCAACACCCGGAAUUUGGCUGUAGCCUUUAGCAACUAACCUUGCCUUAUAUUUUGGAGGCUCUCUUGGAGAUAAACCCUCCUUUCUUUUGAAGAUCCAUUUGCAGCGGAUGGCCUUCUUAUUCUUAGGCAAAGGUACAAGUUCCCAUGUACUGUUCUUCUCAAGAGAUUGCAUCUCCUCAUGCAUAGCCGAAAUCCAGUUUUCAGUAUCAUCACAAUGAAUAGCUUCUUUAUAGGUUGCUGGCUCAUGAACAUUCUCCACCUGUUCAGCACAACUCAAAGCAUGGUAAGAUAAAUUACAUUCUUCAAUAAGACGGUUAGGAGGGAUAACAGUCCUUUUGGACUUGCGUUUAGCAAUGGGUAGAUCCUCCUCUGGAGUUUGCUGGACAUCAUCAUGAGCAUUAGCCGACCCCGAGACCAAAGGGUCUGGCGCAUCAACAACAGCCGACCCCGGAGCCAAGGGGUCUGGCGCAGCAACUUCCGACCCCGGAGCCAAGGGGUCUGGCGCUUGAGCAUUGGCCGACCCUGGAGCCAAAGGGUCUGGCGCAUCAGAAACGACCGACCCCGGAGCCAAGGGGUCUGGCGCAUCCGACCCCGAGACCAAGGGGUCGGGGUUGACAGUGUCAUCACGAGCUUGCUCCACCUGCAGAUGCAUACGCUGCAGUGCGUUUUCUGGAACUUUAUCUGAGGGCAAGCUGUCAGUAAACAUCACAGAUUCAUUGAAAAUAACACUUCUGCUCAGAAAGGUCUUUCCUGUUUCCGGGUUCCACAAUUUGUAGCCUUUAACACCCGAACCAUAACCAAGGAAGAGACAUUUAAUAGCUCUAGGCUCUAAUUUUCCAUUAUCAACAUGAGCAUAUGCAGUGCAUCCAAAAACUUUCAACUGUGAGUAAUCAGCAGGCGUUCCAGACCAUACCUCAAUGGGAGUUCUUUUAUUUAGUGGAAUAGAAGGCGACCUGUUGAUCAAGUAACAGGCAGUAUUAGCAGCUUCAGCCCAAAAACGCUUGCUCAUCCUGGCAUUAGACAGCAUGCAACGGGCCUUGGAUAUGAUGGAUCUGUUCAUGCGUUCGGCCACACCAUUCUGUUGUGGAGUAUGGGGUAUGGUGUGAUGCCUUACAAUGCCUUCUGAUCUGCAAUAAUCAUUAAAUUCACGCGAACAAAAUUCUCCACCAUUAUCAGUGCGAAGCAUUUUCACCUUUCUUUCAGUUUGCCUUUCAAUCAUCACUUUCCAGUCCUUAAAGGCGGCAAAGGUAUCAUCUUUCUGUUUCAGAAAAUAAGGCCACACUCUUCUAGAGUAAUCAUCAAUAAUUGUGAGCAUGUAACGAGCACCACCAAGCGAGGGCUUACGGGAAGGCCCCCACAAAUCAGCAUGGAUAUAAUCAAGAGUACCUUUAGUGGUGUGAACUGAAGUGUUGAAACGUACCCUUUUAUGCUUCCCGAAAACACAGUGCUCACAAAACUUCAUUUUACUCGAAGUGCAGCCAUCCAGUAGGUUUCUUCUCAUCAAUUCGGUCAUACCAUGGUGACUCAUAUGUCCCAGACGCAUAUGCCAAAGGUUAGUUUUACUAGGUUCCUCAUUAGUAACAGCAGCAACAGCGGAAUCAGAACCAGUUAAAGUACACCCUCUAAGGACAUAUAACUUUGCAGAAUUGAGAUCACCCUUUAAGCAGACAAGAUUACCUUUUGAUACCUUCAGAACGCCAUCCGAACCAGAAUAUUUGUAGCCUUUUGCAUCAAGCGUGCUCAAUGAAAUAAGAUUUCUGGACAUUCCUGGUAUGUACCUGACGUUUUUCAGAGUGCGUGUCAUGCCAUCAUGAGUCUUGAUCUGAACCGAUCCAAUCCCCUCAAUAUCACACGGGGUAUUAUCUCCCAUCCGCACCACAUCUCCUUUCGGCAUAGACUUAUAAGAGCUAAACCAAUUUCUGUUAAUGCAAAUAUGAAAUGAACAUGCAGAAUCAAGAAUCCACUCAUCAUGACCAGCAACACAACCGGCAAAUACCACCAGACUAUCUCCAGAUUCUUCAUCAGACACGGCAGCAGCAACAGAGGCCUUACCGGCCGACUUGUUUUUCUUCUUCUCCUUAUUCUGUACUUUUCUGCAAUCCUCAACAUUGUGAUUUGUUAGCUUGCAAUAAACACAGAAUUUCUUAUUACCAUGCGGCUUGGACUUUGAACGGCAUCUCCUUUCAUAAUUUUUCCUUCCAUCAUCAUUGGAGGAUCUGUUAUCAGUUAUGCCUCUCACGAGCAAAGCAUCACCCCUGGAGGACGACGUCCUGUCAUUCUGCACCAUACCUCUCAUCUUCUCCCUUGACUGGAGAGCCUCAUAAACUUCCUUUAAGGUUAGUUCGUCACGGCUCAAGAGUAUGGUGUCACGAAAAUUUGCAUACGAAGUUGGCAAAGAACAUAACAGUAAAAGACCUAAGUCCUCAUCUUCAUACUUCACCUCCAUUGAUACUAGAUCGGCGACGAUUUUCUUGAACUCAGCGAUGUGGCUCAUCACUGAAUCUUCCUCCUUCAUCUUCAAAGUGAACAGCUUCAUCUUCAUCUGCAUCUUACUGGUUAGAUCCUUGGACAUACAGAUCGAUUCCAGUUUCAGCCAUAAUUCUGCAGCAGUUUUUUCUUUCAGACACUCCUGCAAAAUAUCAUUAUGAAGAUGCAACUGUAUUAAGGCGAGAGCCUUCUGAUCCUUGCGGAUCUCUUCUGGAGUCCACGCGGUCUUCGACUUCUUCCCGAAGCUAUCUAGCGCCUCAUCAUAAUCAUGAGUUUGCGCCAGGAUUCCCCUCAUCUUGACUUGCCAUAGCGAGAAACGCGUGUCGUAGUUCAGCAGCGGUAGAUCAAACUUCAUUGACGACGACAUGAAAUCCAAACAGCAACCAAAGCUCUGGUACCACUUGUUAUGAAUGAACGACGUAUGGAAUAUGAAGUAAAGAAUCAAACCGCAAGGAGACACACGAUUUACGUGGAAAACCCCUUCAAUGUGAAGAGGAAAAACCACGGGCACCAGCCGGCAACAAUCUCACUAUGUCAAGAGUUUGGGGGUUACACGCCUACGGCGGCUUACACGAGAAUCUCUCUGUCUCUCUUCUUUCUCGGUACAAAACCCUAGCAAGGGUGCUAGUAUAUGUAGUACCGACACCCAGACAGGGGUUAAUGUGCGGUACGGACUCUUGGUCCCGUACGAGGAUGGAACUCCUCCUCGCCCGACCUUUGAGUCCUUCGUCCUGGAGUCGGGUGCGCCUGGGACAUCGCCUCGUCCGACCCCAAGCCUGGGGUCGGAUGCGCCUGACCCCUUGAGGGUCGAUCUCCGAUUCGCCCGACCCCGAGUCCUGGGGUCGGGAGAUGCUCCGACUCGCCCGACCCCAAAGUCCAGGGGUCGGGAGACGCUCCGCCUCGCCCGGCCCCGAGUCCCGGGGUCGGGAGAUGCUCCGCCUCGCCCGGCCCUAAGUGUAAAGGGUCGGGAAGGUCGGCCUUUAUCCUGGAGUGAAUUUGGAACAACUCCAACAUGGCCAUGGUCGGCAGCGUGGCACCGCAGUCCCCUGCUUAAUUGGAGAGGGCCGUCGAGCGAGCAGGCGAAGUGCGCAGCGGACGGGGCGAGAUUUAUAGGUGCGGCUGGGCUAGGCAAUAGCUGCAUGAGCAUGCAAGACAGAGACUCGUGUGUCUGAGAAACUUGGAAUGGUAAGUAGCUUCUGGGCAGCUUCCAACUGCUUUUUGGAAUGGUAAGGCUGGUGGUCACGCCCACGGCCCAAUUAUCAAUAGGAAAAUUCCGGGCCAGCUGAAAAGAGUACCGGGGAGGAAAGCGUUGCCGAAGAGGCGAAGUGCGGAGAACAGCAGAAAAAGGUCGUCGUUGCUAUCAUCACUUUAUUAAGUGCGGAGAACAGCGGGGUUGAUUAUAUACUUGGUGCCAUGAAGGUCGUCGUUGCUAUCAUCACUUUAUUAGAAAAUAAUUAUUCCGAAAUGUUAAGGAUAUCGAGAAUAGACGACGGAAAAUCCAACAGCUAGCUUCUCACCAAUUCCUCCAAAUGCACCAUUCAUCUUAUCUUAUUACUCUCUCUGUCCCAGAAUAUAACUACGAUUUAGACUUUGAAAUCUUAUUACUCUCUCGGUCCCAGAAUAUAACUACGAUUUAGACUUUUUCAAAGUCAAACUUUUUCAACUUUAACCGCGAAUAUCGAAAUAAUUAUAGAGACUAAUAACAUAAAAAUGAUGUUGGUAAAUUUAUCAUGAAACCAACUAUUAUAAUAUGUAGUCUUUUCUAUUUAUAAUAAAUUAUUUUUAGAGAUAUUGUUGGUCAAAGUUAAAAAUAUUUGACUUUAGAAAAAUCUAAACAUAGCUAUAUUCCGGGACGGAGGGAGUAUUUCAUUUAUUGGCACUUCAAUGACCACCACCAAAUACCCAAAUCUUGUGCUCGUCGAUCAGUCUGAUAUCCUGUACCAACUUUACCGUGUACACCAUACCUAUAGGAUUACCAGAGUUUAAGGUUAUCUGAGCAUAUAGUAGGAACAGAACCUGUGACAGAGCAUGUGCAAAAUAGUACUAGUAGGGUUGACAGAUGUAUUUGCAUGGUGGAUUUUCACUUGAAUUUUGUGUGUUUCAACUUAAAUUCGGAGAACAGCGUAUCGCACUUAGCGGCGGAUUCGACUUGCUACUCUGCUUCGCGGGGGUUCUCGUCGGCGCCAACGUCGUCACCGUCGGCAUCCGGAUGUCCGACGCCGACAUGGCGCCCGUCCUCCCGGCGGUGUUGCCCGAGGCGCGUGCUCUCGCAUGCUCUCUCUGUUCAGAAUAAGAUGACGUUUUGGACAACUAAUUUGUCAUGUAGCAUGAGAGAACUGAACAACUUCCACCGGGUGGCUGCCGUGCGGCAGGACUCUUAGAUUUUGGUUCCUCGUUGUUCCACCCGCAUGACACCCGCAUGACGCUCUCUUGGGCCAUGUUUAGUUAUCCCUCAACUCCCAACUUUGACACUAUGCAAAAAGAAAAUUCUCAUUACAUCAAACUUGCGGUAUAUGCAUGGAGUACUAAAUGUAGACGAAAUUAAAAACUAAUUGCACAGUUUUGUUGUACUUUGCGAGACGAAUCUUUUGAACCUAAUUAGUCAAUAUUUGGACAAUAAUUCACAAAUACAAACGAAACGUUACAGUGUGCUACGGUGUUGGUACAAUAAUUUUGCCUCUCCCAAAUGGCCAACUAAAAGGCCCUGGNNNNNNNNNNNNNNNNNNNNNNNNNNNNNNNNNNNNNNNNNNNNNNNNNNNNNNNNNNNNNNNNNNNNNNNNNNNNNNNNNNNNNNNNNNNNNNNNNNNNCCAACACUGUAGCACACUGUACGUUUCGUUUGUAUUUGUGAAUUAUUGUCCAAAUAUUGACUAAUUAGGCUCAAAAGAUUCGUCUCACAAAGUACAACAAAACUGUGCAAUUAGUUUUUGAUUUCGUCUACAUUUAGUACUCCAUGCAUGUACCGCAAGUUUGAUGUGAUGGGGAAUCUUCUUUUUGCAUAGUGUCAAAGUUGGGAGUUUGAAGGGAAGUAAACAUGGCCUAAGACGACGUUUUGGACAACUAAUUUGACCUGCAAUUAGUUACUUCUUCAUGUCUGAACCAUCAACUAUAUCCGAUCGGAGGCAGUACGAAUUGUUACUGGCCCUAUCCUAUCAGAGUACUACCACUUUGUGUUACUCAGUAUGGUUUGGCUAUCAGUGGCUAGUUGGAGAGAUUAGUAAUGAAAUUUUAAUUCCCAAUCACUCUCUCUCUCUCUCCGGAUCAGAGCGUGUUCUCCGAUCAAUCAAUCCGAGCUCAUAAACCAAGUGCAACGCAUCCACAAAACGGAGUACUUUCGCAGGAACGAACGGAAGGAGUCGCCGCCGCAGGUGUUCGGUCUACGAUUUGGGAUUGUGGCGACGUUGUUGGCCAGGGCCUCGCCACUGCGUUCGCGCCCGUGCUCGUGCCACCACCCGCACGGGUUUCCCGUCAAAUUGGCGCUAAAAUAUACAUAAUCGCCAAAUUGGCGCUAAAAUAUACAUGGGCGAACGCGGUUAGCGUCCGUAUCUGACAACUGCAUAUGUAUUGUACUCUUGCUGACGUUGGUCCUCUUAUCGUUCAAUUCGCAUCCAGUUGUUAUCAUCUGAAGAGAGAAAAGGCGACAAGAUCGAUGAUUAAAAAAGGAGUUUAGUUGGAACCAUACGUGAUCCAAAGCGGAUUGGACUCGACCGCGUUCAUGUUAGGUCAUAAUUAUAUAAAAGUCUGAUGACACUCAGCAAAGCCUGCCUUCCUACGCCAACUACGAGCAAUGGCGCCUGAUGACACCACUCAAUGGUUAAUACUGGGCGACUUCAACUUAAUAUACAGCGCACGAGACAAGAACAAUAACAACUUAAAUCGGAGGCUUAUGAGGAGCUUCAGAGCAACGCUGAACUAUUGCGGACUUAAAGAAAUUCACCUACAGAACAGACGAUUCACCUGGAGCAACGCAAGACACGAGCCGACACUAACGCGAAUUGACAGAGUUUUCUGCAAUGCAUCUUGGGAUGUACAAUUUGACGAUCACGUCCUUCACGCCCUCUCUUCCUCGCACUCGGACCACUGCCCUUUAAUACUUGCGCAAAACUCGGGACCUCGUAGACCGACGCCAUUCAAAUUCGAAAACUUUUGGACACGGCUACCAGGUUUUUAUGAAAUUGUCACCCAGGAAUGGUCAAAGCCGACUACCCAUACUGAGCCGUUCCAUAGACUGGGCUGUAAACUACACAACACUGUCCGAGCACUAAGAUCAUGGAGCCGAAUGCAUGUCUCCGACGCUCGCUUAAAACUGCAUAUGGCCCAAGAAGUCAUCCUACGCCUUGACGUAGCGGAGGAAACAAGAACGCUCACGGAACCAGAACACAAUAUACGGAGCAAACUCAAAAAAAGACUUUUGGGAUGGGUGGCCAUAGAGAAAGCGAGAAGGAAACAGUGCUCUAGGAUAACCUACCUACGAGAAGGCGAUGCGAAUACUAAGUUUUUACACCUCAAGGCAAAUGGAAGGAGGCGGAAAAACUUCAUCCAACGAUUGAAGAGGGGAAAUGACUGGGCCGUGACACACAUACAAAAACAGCAAAUAAUCCAAAACCACUUUGACAAUGUGAUGUCUGCUCCUCCUGCACGCACCAAAACCUUCAACUGGGAAAAGCUACAUUUUCCAGUAGUGGAUUUAACUGGAAUCGAUAACCCUUUUCAGAUAAGGAGAUACAAAAUGCAAUAACUGCCCUGCCCAAAGAUAAAGCGCCAGGCCCAGAUGGCUUCACUGGGUUGUUCUUCAAGUCAUGCUGGGGUAUCAUCAAAGGAGACGUUAUAGCGGCAGUAAACGUUUUUCACGCUGGGAGAUGCAACGACUUAAAUUUGCUUAAUUCAGCAACUAUUGUGUUGGUACCUAAAAAGGACGGCGCUGAAAGCAUCAACGACUUCAGACCAAUAAGCCUUAUACACGCAAUAGCAAAGAUCAUUACCAAAGUGCUGGCAACCAGGCUUCAGCCCUACAUGGACAAAUUGAUUUCGCCAAGCCAAAGUGCCUUCAUAAAAGGACGAAGCAUCCACGACAAUUUCCUUUAUGUUCGGAACAUGGCAAGAAGGUUUCACAGGCAAAAAAUGCCGGCACUGCUAAUGAAGCUGGACAUCUCAAAGGCUUUCGAUUCUGUCCGCUGGGACUACCUGCUUGAAUUACUGCAACAUAGAGGAUUUCCUGCAAGAUGGCGUAACUGGAUCACGGCAUUGCUAGUCACAUCAACCUCCAAAGUUCUAAUCAAUGGAAUUCCAUCCGACGCAAUUGUGCAUGGGCGAGGCCUACGACAAGGAGACCCCCUAUCUCCCUUCCUUUUCAUCCUAGCGAUAGACCCGCUGUACCAAUUAGUACACACGGCAACAGGAAUGGGAUUACUUAAAAAACUAGGCGGACGUACGCCGCGCACUAACAUCUCUAUGUACGCCGAUGACGCGGCCAUCUUCAUAAAGCCAACAAAGGAAGACGUCACAAAUGUCACAACACUCCUGCAUUUAUUCGGAAAGGCCACAGGACUCCAAACAAAUCUACAAAAGACAACAGUGGCUCCCAUCAGCUGCAAUAACGUAGACCUCGACGAAAUCCUAUCCGAAUGGCCAAUCAGUCGCACCGGCUUCCCAUUAAAAUACCUCGGGCUACCACUUGCGAUAAGGCGCCUAAGGAAAGUGGACUUCCAACCUCUAAUAGACAAAGCAGCAAAGAAGCUAUCUGGGUGGCACAAUCGCAACAUCACACAAGCAGGCCGAGUCUGCCUCGCCAAAGCUGUGCUUUCUGCGCAACCUUUGUAUCUACUAACUGUCUUAAAACCAACAUGCGAAGUCCUGGAAGAACUAGACAAAAUAAGGAAAUGAUUCAUCUGGGCCGGAGACAAUCUGCUGACAGGUGGCAAAUGCAAGGUCAACUGGAUCAAAUCCUGCUUACCAAAAGAAAAUGGCGGACUAGGAGUGCUGAACCUUCAUAAUUUUGCUAGAGCAUUGAGACUACGAUGGAUUUGGCAUGAGUGGGAGUCCCCGGAGAAAACAUGGAUCGGAAUGGACAUUCCAUGCGAUGACUCCGAUCAACGCUUAUUCACGGCUUGCACAAUUAUCACAGUGGGAAAUGGAUGUAAAACAAGCUUCUGGCACUCAGCUUGGGGAAGGGGUUCCCGACCGAAGGACAUUGCGCCCAACAUAUAUAAGCUAUCUAGGGGGUGUCGGGGGGAAAUAUUAACGAUCCCCUAACAUGCUGCUUAAAGAAGCAAACAUGAAGGCCCAAGCCCACCAAAGCCUGAUCAAAUCUCCGCCUCGCCCGACCCAGGCGUCAGGAUCGGGAGUGCCCGACCCCUCGCCCGCAAGGUUUCCGCCUCGCCCGACUGCGAUCCCAGGGUCGGGGGCGCCCGACCCCUCAUCACGGAGUUCUCCGCCUCGCCCGACCCAGGCGUCAGGAUCGGGAGCGCCUGACCCCUCGCCCGCAAGGUUUCCGCCUCGCCCGACUGCGAUCCCAGGGUCGGGGGCGCCCGACCCCUCAUCACGGAGUUCUCCGCCUCGCCCGACCCUAAGUGGAGGGGUCGGGCGCACUGGGGCCCACAAGUCCGGGAACCCCCUCGGAUGCGGUCCGCAUAGACAAAACAAAUCCUGUGGGUCCCCCCGUCGGCCUCACCAUAAAUGCACCGCAGAGUUGAUAGAGGGCAGGGCGACCGCGCCCCUCACGCAACCUGGUGCAAGUACCCGUGCACGUCCGUCCUGUGCAGGCUACAGUGCCGGCGGCCGGCUCCCAUUCGCCGCAGGGCACUCAUAGCCUGCGCCGACCGGAGCAAAGGAGAGAGAGGCCUGUCCUCGGGUCCCGCACACCCUCGGGUCCCGCACACCCAACAGUGCGGAUGUGACGCCCUCCCUCUUAGCGGCCGUCGCCGGAGCAGCGGCAUCCGCCGUCCUCCCUAACAGACGCUGGGGUAACGACGGAACACCAUCACCAUGGCCUGAUACCUACGGGCAUCAAAGCAGCUAUAUGAAGGAGGCAAUAACACUUGGCAAAGGGCGACUUCCUCCUCCGGCAUGCACGCCAACACUCGUCAAGGGCCGGCAGAGACAACGGACGCCUAGGAUCUGGCCCCUCCUUCCUGCCAUGCUUUUUACCAUUUUACGCCUUACCCUUUACCAUCCUCUUUUAACCGAUCCCAAUUGUAACUCCGGCCAUCCCCUUGUGAUAUAAAAGGAGGAAACCGAGGCCGGGGGGAGGGAUCAAUCGAACAAUCUACGAACAGACCGGGGGAUCGCUCGAUCAGCUUCUUCCCCCACACACCUUAGUACACUACACCUCUCCCUGAGAGCAAAAGAAAAAAAGAGACUUGGGACCUGUCCCUCUCUCGCCAAUCUGUACCCCCUACUACAGAACCCCCGCGUGGGCAACACGAGCAUCCUCGAUACUGGACGUAGGGCUUCCUUUGCCCGAACCAGUCUAAAUCUGUGUCCCCCACGCAACCAUCUGAGGCUCACGCGCAUAAAAGAAAUUUACUAGUCUAAGUCUAGGUCCGCUGAUCCUGACAACGACAGGGGGAAACAUAAAACUCUUGCAGAGGCAUUACACAACAAUAGAUGGGUGACGGACAUAAACAUCCAUGCCGGACUUACAACGCGGCACUUACAAGAAUUCGUCACACUAUGGCGGCUAGUAGCGACAGUAAGCCUCCAAGCACAACAGGAAGACACAAUCCGUUGGAAAUUCACGCAAAAUGGUCAAUACUCAGCGGCAUCAGCAUACAAGGCACAGUUUUUAGGAUCCACUCAUGCACCGCACAGUAAAACAAUAUGGAAAUGCUGGGCACCCCCGAAAUGCAAAUUUUUCGCGUGGCUGAUACUACAGGACCGGGUAUGGACAGCUGAUCGACUUGCGCGAUGAGGAUGGCCGCACUCACCAAAUUGCCCUCUAUGCCGAGUACAACAAGAGACAGCACAUCAUCUCCUGGCACAAUGCAGAUACACCAAGCGAAUAUGGAGUCUUGUUACCACUUGGGCCUCGCAACUCAGCCUACACCCUUCGGAAUGGCCACCAACUGCCAAUGCUCUAGAGUGGUGGAUAAAUAUGACUACAAGGACCGAAGCUCCUCGGAAAGGAGUCUGCUCUAUGGGCCUGCUGAUAAUAUGGGAAAUUUGGAAGGAGCGCAAUCGACGAAUCUUCAACCAUCAAGGGAUGGCCGCAACAGCACUGCUAGCACAAAUCAAAGCGGAAGCAGACACGUGGAUUUUAGCAGGGGCGAGAGCUCUAGCGUUGUUCUUAUCCAGAGAGUAAUCGUGCUAGGAAAAGGAAACUUUGUAUCUCCUUUGUAACAAUCUGUAAUUAUCUACUAUCUCAAUAAAAUAGGCACUAUCCCGUACCCAUUCCUUCAAAAAAAAAGUCAUAUUUCACCGAUCACUGUACAUAUGAAAGUGGUCUUUUUUUUUCCUAUUGGCCUGGAUUACCGUGGCUACCUCUAACCUACUCACUCCAUCCCGCAAAGAGUGUCCAUUUAGUUGGCUCCUUGUCUGUGCAUUAAGAUGCUCAUCCCAAUCUUCCAAUGAAUCACUAUCAAAUCCAUCAAACUCAACAAUACGAGCUUCACGAGUUGAUGUGUCAAGCCCCGACUUCUCUGAAGGACCACAAUAUUCAUGGAACAGCUCCCUUAUUGCAUCACGCACGGCAGAUACAUACUUCUCUGCAUCAGUACCAAAAGCUCGCUUUAGACGGAACUCAAUAAAAGUAAUUUUGAAUCUCGGAUCAAGAACAACAGGUAUUGACAGCCACACGUAUGAACUUUGCCAAUACUCAUUGAACGCUUCUUGCAUCACCCAAACCAUGUUAGCAAGUUCAGUGUGAUCAGAGGAUGCUUCUUCUUGCAAAGUUGUUCUAACUUUCCAUAGUUCAUUGAAGUAUAUAUUUGCUGUCGGGCUAACAGGACCAGAAAUUACUUCAACAGCACGAUAAAAAGCCCUCAGUAUCCUGCAAACAGAUUCCACAGUUUUAGUAUCUUCUGCAGAUAAGAAUUCUUCCCAGGGGAAUGCCUUCUUGAAAUGCAGAAAAACUUGAAGCCUGAAGUAAAUUUUAUGCCACCAUUUCGCAUCCUCCUGUGGUCACUUCAAUCCAAGAUGUGUAACAACUUCUAAAAGUUGCUGCCGAGUCAGCGAUGAGGACAUUUGUACCUGAAUAAAUUUCUCUAGUAUGUCACCAACAUGGUGAAGCACUGGUUGCCCUUUUGAAACAAUGCUGUUAAGCACAUCAUCCACACAAGCAACAUUGUACAGUUCACCUCUAAUAGGAAGGCAUUUUCUUUGGAUGAGCAAGUCCAUCAGCUUUGAGGUACCCUCAUCGCUUCUAAUUGCAUUGACAGAUGUCAAGCUGAAAUGCUUCUGAUCAAGAUUCCAAUCUCUUAAAGCUUCCUGUAUGACAUUAAAUUGUCCAUUAUCAGAAUCCAGUACGCAGGCCUCCUUAAAAUGUAUCAUCCUUUCUAAACUAGUAGCCUAGUAGGUGAGGACAAAAACACACCAAAUUUGAUGAUUUUCCUUUAAAGUUUCCAUUCAGAAUCGAUAAAAUGCACUGCCAGACAGAGAUACUUCACUGAGGCCUCAGCUCCAUGAGGAGCCCACACACUUUGCGGUAGCAUACGGGCAUACCCGCGAGCACAUGGCACGGCCGAAAAGCGAAAAUGCUUGCACGUGGCCCACGUUUUCUCCCACGAUUUCUCAUCCUUUUGUUUUGUCCUACUCGCUCCUGUAUCCAUCCAUCAUGUCCACCUAUAAGACCAAGGGCAAGCCUCCAGCCGUCGCUCCAGUUCCCUCCUGUCUCCCGGUCCAACUCAACUCUUGCCUUUUCCCUGCUUCCAUCGUCUCCUGCUCCUCAACUGCUGCAGGAUACAGCGUGAGGUACGUCAAAGUGUCCGCAGUUUGCAGUUUGUUUUCUUCUUGUGAAAACCUUUGGAUUUUUCAGUGGCUAUAAUGUCUUGCGAAAUUCCCCAAUUCUCUUCCGAGCAUCUCUUGGAUGUAGUGAUAAGCGUCAUGUUCUUUGCUGCUGCUCUAAUUAACAGGGAGCCGCGCAGCGCCGACGCCAAUGAGCACUCGGGGCAGCAGCAGGGCGAUGUACACCGGCCUGAUCAUCCUGUUGCUCGCUGUCGGCGCAGGCAUCAACUUCGGCAACUGCGACGGAUUAUCCGGCCCACUCCUCAGCUUCGUGGGGGUUGUCGCCGGCGCCAACAUGAUCGCCGCCGGCGUCAGGACGGCCGACGACCCAGCAGCACCCAUCGACCCCGCGCCCGCAGCGUUCGCCGGUGCACGUGCGUUCAUGCGGCGCAACCUCGCCGUCGUGGGGCUCGUCAUGGUUUCCUCUGCUUCCACAGCGGUUGCGGGGGAGACAGGCCCGGCGUUCUCCUUCAUGAUGUUUGUCCUGCUGGUGUUCGGGGUCUCUCUGAUCAACAUCGGAGUUCAUGGCACCUAGUCUGGUGUGUCAGCUUCGGUCCGUUGGUGCUCGCAUCGUUCUUCGUACGUUGACGUUCCCCUCAACUAUCUGUCAGUAAUCGCCGCCUCUGUCCACGGAUGGUUUUCAAGUAACAGCAAUAAAGGAAAUGGAAUUGGAAUUGGAAUUGGAAUUGCAUUUUUUUUCCAACCGAGGGAGUACUAUUUCUGAAUAAUCAACCAGUAUGUUUUUCCUUAAUUACUACGUGCUUUUUUGUACUUGAAUUACGUUGGUGUCGACCUGCUAUGUUUGUGAGCUCAAGUACCUUUUCACGGGAACAUGUGAUAUUCCAUCUCCAUGAUUUCACACCUGCUAUCCAAGUUGAGUAGCAGAAGAUCAACCUGCCCCUAUUUUUCAGCCGCCUUAUUCAAUUGCUUAUCCCGGCGCCACUUUUUGGUUGCUUUCCGAUCAUGGCCACUGCAGUACUACUAAGACCAUCCACCAGCUAAAAUUUAGCUGGUAAAUUUGGAUCCAAACAGGAAGAUGGAGCUGACGUGGGUGUAUGUCGGGAGAAGGGGGCAGGUGGCGUGCAUAUUGCGACGGACCACGACAGAGGCGGCGCGUUCGUAACGGGGUGGGGGUGUGUGGAUUGGGCCGGCGACGGCGACAGCGGACCGAAUGGACCACCUCGCCUUUUUUCCUCCCUUGUGCUUCAUCUAAGCCAUCGAUCCAUUGUUUGCCAAUUGUUCAGCACAUAUUUUUGAGAGUGUGGAUCCAACAAUCACUUAAAUAUUGGCCCAAACUGCCAAGAUGUUGGCCAAAUGUAUGCGCCAGCCAUUGGAAUGGACCACAGAGAGUCAAAUCUGCAAACUUUUUCAUGCGUGGAAGUUUGGGAUCCAAAUCCGUCUCCCUCAGAUUGGCAGACCAUCCUCAGGACAAAAUAUUUGAAUGCCAGACCGUCUCCCUCGUAUUGACGGACCGUCCGCAGUAUAAAACUCAGUCGACUCAAGUUUUGUGCAGAGAUUCUGGUAGGAGGCCCGGUGGCACAUCCCCAACCCGGUAUUAAUGUGCACCACAUUAGUACCGGUUGUUGAUCUUACCCAGUACUAAAGGUCCAAUGGCACAUUAGUAUAAUCAACCAGUACUAAUGUGCAUCAUUUAGUACCGGUUGGUGCCCCCAACCUGGUACUAAAGGGGCUUACGGGGCCACCCAGGGGAAGUAGCCGUUAGGCUCGGUAAUAGCAUUAGUACCGGAUCCAAUUACAACUGGUAAUAAGGUGCUGGACGAAAGGUCAUUUCUCUAAUAGUGAAAGAUGAAGAGGUUAUAUAAUAUUUCACAUAGUAUAAAACGGAAUAUAUUACGAGUAAAUGGUACCACACUACAACGAUUUGAAGGUGAGCCCAACGAGAAACCUCCAUCCUUAUCUCACCGCACCUUCCUCAUAACUAGCUGCAACUCAUGUUACUCAUCUCAGUUUAUUCCAAGUUGUAUGCAAAAAAUUGACAAGGGACCAGUCAGCUCCGUCCACUCCCAACCAAAUUAAACGUGAGAAACAACACCAAUUAAAGUAUAAGGAUCAUCCUAUCUUAGGAAAGAUGAUGUAGCCCGGCUCCAGCCCCAGGCUCUCCGGGAUCGCCGCGUACAGCCUGAGCCCGAGCUCCCGGACCUCCUUGCCGUAGAUGCUCAUCGUCUCCCUGAAUGACAAAGGGACCGUGCCGGUGUCAGGAUUCAGAAAUACUAAUCCACAAUCAGCGGCGGGUUGGACGACGGCCAGUCGGGCACGAACUGGUCGAUGGGAUGGCAGUGAAGCCGGAGGUAGUCGCGCAAGUUGUGCACCGUCUCCUUGCGCACGUUGAAGCUCGUGGACAGGCGAAUCUUCCUGGCAGGGUCGUCGGAGUAGAGCUUGGCUUUCUCCUCCGCGGGCAGCUGGAAGAACUCCCGCGAUCAGGCCGGCGUCUAUCCCGUGGUUCAGGACCAGCAUAUACAAGAAAUCGUGGGUCACUGUCAACGAAAUAAAGCUUUGCCGGCGGCAAGCCAAUUUCUACGGCCCCGGGCGUGCGUGUCACCUGGAAGAAGCCGUGCGUGCGGCAGCAGGCGCCGCCGAUGGCGGCGACGACCGCAGCGCGGUCGGGGCACGCCAGAUCGACGACGGGAACGCACGCGCCGGAGACGACCUCGGCGAGGUGCGGGCGCUGCGACUCCGGCCGGACGUAGUUCCCGCGGCAUGGUGCGGUGCACCGCCAUGGAGAGGAGGUGCUCCUCCGCCAUGUGUGUUCAACGCGAGCCGACGACGGAGCUCUUGCGUGCGUGCGCGAAGCGGGGAGGAGCCGGGCAGCUGGCCUUCGACAUGGGACUCUCAGGGAGGCGGGUCAGCACGCGCUCUUAUAGCGGCCGGUCGAAGCGCGCGGGCGAGCAGCGUGUGGUGUGGUGACCGCGGCGUGGCAAGGCGCGGGCCAAGCCGCUGAUGCUGACCCCCGCGGUCGUUGGGUCGCGUCAUCACCGCGGCGGCUAGUGACAUCAAGCCGUUGGGUCGCGUCGUCACCGCGGCGGCCAGUGACAUCAAGUCGUGCGUCAUCACCGCAGCAAGUCGUUGGGCCGCGUCAUCACCGCGGCGGCCAGUGACAUCACGUCGCGGCGUUGUAUGCUUGGGCAAUGAAGACGGACGAAACGAAGACGACAACAAUGAAUUUUUUUUUGCAUAAUGUCUUGAGUAUAUGAUUAAAUUCAGAAGUUAAGAAUAGGAAAAAAAAACUCUCCAAAACUGUAUCACACGAUGACACAAGCAGGCAGCACGCAAUACAUGGAGAUGUUAGAAGCAAACCAUGAAUGAUUACAAAAGAUGGCAUCAAGCUGCACAGAUAUUUUAGAUUUUGGCACAAAAGACCAUGGCUUCGCAUGUUCAGUCUAGCUAUAUGACUAUACUAAAACUCUUCGUGGAAGGCAACACAUUCUUUUUUUUAUUUAUUAUCUUAUAUUAAGAUGACAAUCUAUAUUGUGCUUUUCAAUCGAAAACAUCAAGUAACAUUGUACCAUUGCUCUAAAAAAUAUUGCAACAACAUGUUGUAUGCUUUAAAUAAUAUUGAUUGAGCACUUUGUUAUUUGAUCUUGGAAAACUUAUAUACCCUUUUUUUUUAGCUAUCAGUGCCUCAAGUCUUUUUCUAUCUUUUUUUAUCUUUUUAACUUUCGAUUCUAAACUUGUUAAUUAGGCUAGCUUUUAUUUUGUUUUAGACCACCUCGAUAUCAUAUCAUUUUGUCCUCCACCUCAUGUUGCUAUGCAUUUUCAUGUUAUUUUUCUUUUCUUUUUUUCAUCAAAGCCUUUUGCACCUCCGUCUGGGCUCAAAUUCAGAUGGUUGCAGAUCACAUGAGCACCUUCCUAGAGGAAUUGAUACUCCAAUCUCUUAAGACAAAUCUCAGUUUGUCUUCUCCUAAGGAUGGAGUAGUACUUAUGUGCCUUAUGAAAGCAGUUUCAAGCUACCUAAAAUAAGUAGACAUUUGUAAGCUGGUCAGGUUCGACGAGGAGUACACCGAGCACAUCCUGCGGAUGGGCCCUCCCAUGCCCUUCCGCCGCAUGCGCGCCGAGCUCAUGGACAAGAAUAAUUUUAGGAAAAUUGCAAACAGAUACUCAAAGCAUGACGCUUUCAUCAAACUAUGCACGUGAUUGCAUUUUAUCCAAUGCUCCCAGACAGUAUUAUCUUACAUCAUCUCUCAGAAGAGAGAGUAUUGCAUUACAUGGCCAGAGGAAAGGACACCUGGACUAUAGUAGCGCAGCUUCAUUAUUUGAGCGCACACGGCAUGAGAAUGAUUCAACAUCAGCAAGCACAUAGCCACACAGUAGCAGUAGUUACCUGCAACAACCCAAUUGGGAAACUAGGAACAGAGCUUGAACCAAAUCAUCAAUCGAGCAUCAAUGCAUCUGGGAGAGGCCAAGAAUCCCAACGCUGAUCAGGGAGAGGCCGAGGAGGAGCAGAGCAAACAUGCCGAAGCAGAGCACCUGGCCUGCUUCGCCGGAGACCGCCGGGCAACAUCGCAUCAGCAGGUUGACGUUGCAGAGGUGGCGGCCGGGCAAUUUCGCGCGUCAACCUGCUGAUGCGUCAACCUGCUGAUGCGUCAACGUCGCGCGGUCAGGCGGAGGUCUCUCAAAUCUAUCUCUAGUCAGUCUCUAUAUAUGCAGAGACAUACCAGCUACUAACUAGCCUACCAGCCUCAGCUCAGCUUCCAGCAAGGCACUUCAAACCACCUGCUGCCAUAUUCGGCAACGCUUCCCUCCCCGGUGCGGCAGUGCUCGACGGCCCUCUCCGACUGCGGUGCCACGCGGCCGACGAUGACCACUCCGGGCACCACGGCGAUGUUCGCCGGCCUCGCCAUCUUGCUGUUCUCCGUCAGCGCCGGAUUCAAUUCCGGCGCCGGCGCGUUCGGCUUGCUACUCUGCUUCGCGGGGGUUCUCGCUGGUGCCAACAUCGUCGCCGUCGGCAUCCGGAUGUCCGGCGCCUACCUGGCGCCCGUCGUCCCGGCGGUGUUGGCCGAGGCGCGUGCUCUCGCAGAGUUCCUUCGUCGCAACCUCGCCGUCGUGGGGCUCGUGAUGGCUUCCUGCGCCGUCACGGCGGUCUCCGGCGAAGCAGGCCAGGAGCUCGGCUUCGGCAUGUUUGCUCUGCUCCUCCUCGGCCUCUCCCUGAUCAGCGUUGGGAUUCUUGGCCUCUCCCAGAUGCAUUGAUCCUCGAUUGAUGAUUUGGUUCCUGCUGUCAAAGUAUUCUUGCUGUCAUUCUCAUGCCGUGUGCGCUCAAAUAAUGAAGCUGCGCUACUAUAGUCUAAGUGUCCUCCUUUCCUCUGGCCAUGUAAUGAAAUUUUAAUUCCCAAUCACUGCUUUGGCUAUCAGUGUGCUGCCCAGUCUUGGAAUAGCAAUUUGCAGAACGUGUUCUUCUCAAAAUCGUUGCUGGAUCUGGUGUUGUCUCAUCAGAGCGUGCUCUCGAUCGAAACGGAUCAGAGCGUGUUCUCGAGUACCUGGCGUUGAACGGUUUGAACGUGUUCUUCUCAAGAUCAGUUGUCCCAUCAGAGCGUGCUCAGCCGCUUUAGCAAUCAAUUGCUUUUAUCCAUUCCAGUCUUUCCUGAAGCUCCCUUUGCGACGGGAGAUCUUCUCGACGACUUGACGCGUACUUAUGCGGAUUGGACUCGAGUGCGUUCAGGCCGGCGGAUGCUCAAGUCCGUCCCUGUCGCGUCUGCCCGACCGCCAGCCAGGCAGCAAGCCCACGACGCAACAGCGGGCCCCGCGGAGGUGGCACACUGGCACGAUCCCAAGCCCGACCGACUCGAGCGUGACAAUUUCCGACAAAAAAACGACAAGAUCGAUGAUUAAGAAAAAGGAUCGAGUUGAGCCGCACGCACGAUGAUUAAACGGAUCAGUUCAGAAACGGCACACGCGAGGACCGGCCGGCCGACCAGCGGCGCACGAGCGCGCGAUUCCGUAAGGCUCGGCCCACGCGCUGUCCUUGACGCCAGUGAGCUAGUGGCGGUGGCGGGAAGUUCCCUUAUGUAGCGGGAAAAAAAAAUACAAAUUGCUGAUCUGAUGCUACUAAUUUGUGUUGUGUGGUAACAGUUCGGUCUUCCUUUGUGAUGGUACCUUUUUAUGCUGUUUGUGGUACAGAUGUGCUCAUCUUGGUAUAGGUUUCUUCUUCCAUUAUAAGUUUGCUUCUGUGAUGUUUGCUGGUCAUUAGGAGCUGAGUGGCCUCUUGAUCAAUUUUCUGCGCACAGGUUGCAUAAAACUUAGAAUAAACCGAAAUUUCUUCUCGCCCUCGGUGGUGGCAACGCCGCUGCCAAGUGCCAAUCGCGCUGCCGUCGCCGGCGACCUCCUCCUAGGCUCCUUGGACUUGGCGCGCUCCUCCAGCACCAAAUUGGAAACCGUCGCCGCCAAAUCGUUGUAUACUAUUAUAUAACCUCUUCAUUUUGUUGAGGAACUUUAUAUCAUGACAAUUGACAUGUACGUUGCGUUCAUGUGUGUUGCUAACAAGUCAUGUACGUUUUGUUGAGGAUCAGUUCAGCUGAUGAACAUAUAUCCUCACAAUAUGAAGCGCAUGCGUCCUCUGAAACUCUGAAUAAAAUCUGACUGAACAAGUCAUGUACUCCUACGUUGCAAGUGCUGCUGCUGGGCGUACUGUUCAAUCUGAAUCUGAUUUGUGACACGCUAACGCUGUCGGCCAAUCACCUUCAGGUCAUCAUCUGAUAGAGAUAGACACUUAAGUGUGAACGUUCUUCAAUUCAGGUAGUCCACAUUCAGAGUCGCAACUGGCAAUUUUUUUUUUCAAUAAUCACAAUUCGCAACUUUGGAACCGAGCAAGUGCCAAAUAAUCGGGGCAUGGUGUACCCAAACUGGCUAUAUGCUUUGUCAUCAUUUCAAUUCUAUAGACACGUUCGUUCUCAAUUCUCUCUCCGUAACGUGUCACUAAUCCAUUAACCUAAUUCUCAAUUUCUCAAUUGCCUGCCGUGAUGCCAUCCAAAAGUCACCAUCCGGCCGAAUGGGAUUCCCGAGUCCGGGGGCGUCCACCUGACUGACCCUCUCAACGCAGCUUCACAAUUAACAGCAGAAGCUGGCAUUGCCAGGACAUCACGUGCCAUAAUUGACAGGGUUGGAUACUUUGUAGAAUUACUCAUCCACCAGUUCAGAAUAUCGAAAUCAUCCUUUCUCGGGACAAGACCAUCUUCAAGGUAGCUGUCAAUUUCUGUCAUUAGUUGGCUCCUUGUCUGUGCAUUAAGAUGCUCAUCCCAAUCUUCCAAUGAAUCACUAUCAAAACCAUCAAACUCAACAAUACGAGCUUCACGAGUUGAUGUGUCAAGCCCCGACUUCUCUAAAGGACCACAAUAUUCAUGGAACAGCUCCCUUAUUGCAUCACGCACGGCAGAUACAUACUUCUCUGCAUCAGUACCAAAAGCUCGCUUUAGAUGGAACUCAAUAAAAGUAAUUUUGAAUCUCGGAUCAAGAACAACAGGUAUUGACAGCCACACGUAUGAACUUUGCCAAUACUCAUUGAACGCUUCUUGCAUCACCCAAACCAUGUUAGCAAGUUCAGUGUGAUCAGAGGAUGCUUCUUCUUGCAAAGUUGUUCUAACUUUCCAUAGUUCAUUGAAGUAUAUAUUUGCUGUGGAGCAAACACGACCAGAAAUUACUUCAACAGCACGAUAAAAAGCCCUCAGUAUCCUGCAAACAGAUUCCACAGUUUUAGUAUCUUCUGCAGAUAACAAUUCUUCUGAGGGGAAUGCCUUCUUGAAAUGCAGAAAAACUUCAAGCCUGAAGUAAAAUUUAUGCCACCAUUUCGCAUCCUCCUGUGGGCACUUCAAUCCAAUAUGUGUAACAGCUUCUAAAUAUCUCUUACCAUGGAGAAAUAGGCCAUGGAGAAUAUGUGUAACAACUUCUAAAAGCUGAAUAUUUCAGCGUCUUGGUCAAAUUUCCUGCUUAUAUCUGCAGCAGUCUGAGCUGAUGUGGUAUUUUGUUCUGUGGAAUUCGUCUCAUCCAUUGCCGGCAAAGCUAGAAAGAAUGUGACGUUCCACUGGGCUUCUAUUACCAGAACGCCCUUGAGGAACUGGCCUUCUAGCAUACUCUGCCGGGUUGCUGCUGGAUAUAUCAGGCGCGGAGAAGGAUCUGGGAAGUUUCCUUUUGUCAUAGUUUCAAUAUAUAUUGAUCCUAUUGUUUUCCGGCCAUAUCCAACCGCCCCACGUCAUGUCCCAGCCGAACAACGUCAUGUGCCCACCUAUAAGACCUUGGCCCAAGCCUCCAGCGUCGCUCCAGUUCCCUCCUGUCCUCCGGUCCAACUCUUGCCUUUCCCUGCUUCCCUCGUCUCCUGCUCCUCAACUGCUGCAGGAUACACCGUGAGGUACCUCAAAGGGUCCGCGGUUUGUUUUCUUCUUGUGAUUGUGGAAACCUUUGGAUUUUUCAGUGGCUAUAAUGUCUUGUGAAAUUCCCCAAUUCUCUUGCGAGCAUGGAUGCAGUGACGCCAAUGAGCACUCGGGGCAGCAGCAGGGCGAUGUACACCGGCCUGAUCAUCCUGUUGCUCGCUGUCGGCGCAGGCAUCAACUUCGGCGACUGCGACGGAUUAUCUGGCCUACUCAGCUUCGUGGGGGUUGUCGCCGGCGCCAACAUGAUCGCAGCCGUCGUCAGGACGGCCGACGACCCAGCAGCACCCAUCGGCCCCGCGCCCGCAGUGUUCGCCGGUGCACGUGCGUUCAUGCGGCGCAACCUCGCCGUCGUGGGGCUCGUCAUGGUUUCCUCUGCUUCCACAGCGGUUGUGGGGGAGACAGGCCCGGCGUUCUCCUUCAUGAUGUUUGUCCUGCUGGUGUUCGGGGUCUCUAUGAUCAACAUCGGAGUUCAUGGCGCCUAGUCUGGUGUGUCAGCUCCGGUCCGUUGGUGCUCGCAUCGUUCUUCAUACGUUGACGUUCCCCUCAACUAUCUGUCAGUAAUCGCCGCCUAUGUCCACGGAUGGUUUUCGAGUAACAGCAAUAAAGGAAAUGGAAUUGGAAUUGGAAUUGCAAUUUUUUUUAACCGAGGGAGUACUAUUUCUCAAUAAUCAACCAGUAUGUUUUUCCUUAAUUACUACGUGCUUCUUUGUACUUGAAUUACGUUGGUGUCGACCUGCUAUGUUUGUGAGCUCAAGUACCUUUUCACGGGAACAUGUGAUAUUCCACCUCCAUGAUUCCACACCUGCUAUCCUAGUUGAGUAGCAGAAGAACAUCCUGCCCCUCAGAAACUCGAAGCGAAGAGAAAAUCAUCGAAGGAGGGGAUGCGCGGGCCAGCUCCGGCACUGCAAGUCUUUCGGGGAGCGUUGGAGGAAACAGGAGAGUGGAGGAGUGGCCGGGUGGAUGGGAUCGUUGGGUUAGAGCACCUCUAAGAGCCCUCUUAAAAUAACCUGAAUCAGAUUUAAGGAGGAAAAAAAGGAAAAAAUUAACCUCCAAUUCUCGUAACUGUUGAAACCGGAAAAUAAUACCUAUAUAUUCGAAAAAAUUCCAACGGCUCCCUCGAAACUUCCCCAGCUCUUCGCGGUGCCAAAACAGAACCCGUAGCUGCAUAUAUUUGCGCGAUUUUCCUCCUCCCCGAUCUUUCUUCCCGCGCGAGAGUCUUCCGACGGCGGGGUGAGGGGCGGCCGCGUGUGUGUGUGUGGGGGGGGGGGUGGCGCUUCAUUAUCUCUGAACAGAUAGCUUUUCACUGCAUGUCAGGUAAACUGAAUACAUGAGCCAACAAUUGUGCGUGCAUUUGCGUGUGCUGCAACUGCAAGCCUGCAGCUGAGCACUUCUAUUGGUGUGGCUGAAAACAACGCUGUGCCCGGGGGGAGGGGCGGCGCUGGAGAUCAGGGAGGUGCGUGCGUGAGGGGCAGGUGACCAGCCCAACUAAUAGGUCCAAUUAUGAUGAUGUGGUCUGUUUUGAAAUAUUAGGUGUUAGUUAUUAGCGAUCUGCUGUGGGUUGAUAUGUUUUUUGGGCAAAAUUUUUUUGGAAGAGCCCCUAAUACAUAGUUAUCGGAGAAAAAAAUUUAGGGUACUUUUGAAGUUGCUAUUAGUAGUUAGUCGAGACACGUGUGAUGGCUGGAGUGGGAUAGCAAGGCACAAAUUACCCGCGUGCUCGUGGGCAAAAACCAUGUAGGGUAAGGAUACGUGUUUAAAUUUAUGCCUACGGGUAUGGUUGCGGGUUUGUAUUUAUGCCCAACGGGCAAAAUAUCGCGGGCGUAAAAAAAUUGUAACCGUACCCGCUCUAUCUGCAAACCCGCUAAAUCCUCUGACACGUAAACCCUGCAUGUAGGUAUAUAAAAGAAGGCAUGUGCCAUUUCAUGUUCCCAUCCUUCUUUCUCUUCCCAAGUCUCCAACCGCAGCACCAAGCGGCGGCGGCGGCCACUCAGGCACCGCAGGGCCCGCGCCCCGUGCCUCCCGCUCCUCCCAGGCGCUCAAACUGCUCAAGCGGACCCUACCUCGCCGGAGCCAGGACGCAGCGACGCCGGUUUCUCCCCAAGGCUCGUCCCCCAGAGCCAUCCCUCCGCUGCAGUCCAAUCCAAGCGCAACCACCUGAUGGAUCCCCCCCCUUUGUUGCUGCAUCUUUGCAUCCCCCUUUAUUUAUUCAAGGAUGGUCAUGUUCUUGGGUGCAUACCCGCGGGCACAUGGCACGGCCGAAAAGCCAAAAUGCUUGCCCGUGGUGGGUGGCUGUUCCACGCGUUUUCUCCUCCGGGUUCUCCUCCUUGCCAGUCCUACUCGCUCCAGUCUCCAUCAUGUCCACCUAUAAGACCAAGGGCAAGCCUCCAGCGUCGCUCCAGUUCCCUCCUGUCUUCCGGUCCAACUCAACUCUUGCCUUUCCCUGCUUCCCUCGUCUCCUGCUCCGUGAGGUACGUCAAAAGGUCAGAACCUUUGGAUUUUUCGAAAUUCCCCAAUUCUCUUGCGAGCAUGGAUGUAGUGAUAAGCGUCAUGUUCGUUGCUGCUGCUCUAUUUAACAGGGAGCCGCGCAGCGCCGACGCCAAUGCCAAUGAGCCUUACUCGGGGCAGCAGCAGGGCGAUGUACACCGGCCUGAUCAUCCUGUUGCUCGCUGUCGGCGCAGGCAUCAACUUCGGCGACUGCGACGGAUUAUCUGGCCCACUCCUCAGCUUCCUGGGGGUUGUCGCCGGCGCCAACGUGAUCGCCGCCGGCGUCAGGACGGCCGACGACCCAGCAGCACCCAUCGGCCCCGCGCCCGUAGCGUUCGCCGGUGCACGUGCGUUCAUGCGGCGCAACCUCGCCGUCGUGGGGCUCGUCAUGGUAUCCUCUGCUUCCACAGCGGUUGCGGGGGAGACAGGCCCGGCGUUCUCCUUCAUGAUGUUUGUCCUGCUGGUGUUCGGGGUCUCUCUGAUCAACAUCGGAGUUCAUGGCGCCUAGUCUGGUGUGUCAGCUCCGGUCCGUUGGUGCUCGCAUCGUUCUUCAUACGUUGACGUUCCCCUCAACUAUCUGUCAGUAAUCGCCGCCUCUGUCCACGGAUAGUUUUCGAGUAACAGCAAUAAAGGAAAUGGAAUUAGAAUUGGAAUUGCAUUUUUUUUAACCGAGGGAGUACUAUUUCUGAAUAAUCACCAGUAUGUUUUUCCUUAAUUACUACGUGCUUCUUUGUAAUUCAUGAAUUACGUUAGUGAGCUCAAGUACCUUUUCACGGGAACAUGUGAUAUUCCAUGUCCAUGAUUCCACACCUGCUAUCCAAGUUGAGUAGCAGAAGAUCAUCCUGCCCCUGCUUUUGACGCCAGGAGUCGAGACACAAGACGUAUCCAUGUGGGUCCCGGCGCUGACCUGCGAGAUCCAACGCCACUUUUCGGUUGCAUCCCGAUCAUGGCCACUGCAGUACUAAGACCAUCCAAACAGGACAGCGAUGGAGCUGACGUGGAUGUCUGUCGGGAGAACGGGGUGGGUGGCGUGCAGAUUGCGACGGACCACGACAGAGGCGGCGCGUUCGUAACGGGGUGGGGGGUGUGCCGAUUGCGCCGGCGACGGCGAAAGCGGACCGAAUGGACCACCUGGCCUUUUUUUUUUUCUCCCUUGUGCUUCGUAUAAGCUAUCGAUCCAUUGUCCAAGAUUGUUCAGCGCAUAUUUUCGAGGAUGUGGAUCCAUCAAUCACUUAAAUAUUGGCCCAAACUACGAAGAUGUUGGCCAGAUGUAUGCGCCAGCUAUUGGAAUGGACCACCGAGAGUCAAAUCUGCAAACUUUUUUCAUGCCUGGAUUUUUGUAUGCGCCAACCAUUGUAUGCGUGGAUUUAGGAGGGUUUGAUACUAAUUAGGAGUAUUAAAUAUAGUUUAAUUAUAAAACUAAUUGUAUAAAUGGAGUCUAAUUCGCAAGAUGAAUCUAUUAAGCCUAAUUAGUCCAUGAUUUGACAAUGUGAUGCUACAGUAACCAUUUGCUAAUGAUGGAUUAAUUAGGCCUAAUAGAUUCACCUCGCGAAUUAGUACAGGAGUAACCAUUUGCUAAUGAUGGAUUAAUUAGGCUUAAUAGAUUCACCUCGCGAAUUAGUACAGGAGUUCUACAGUUAGUUUUAUAAUUAGCUCAUGUUUAGUCCUUCUAAUUAGCAUCCGAACAUCCGAUGUGAUCCUCCUAAAGUUUAGCACCUCGUAUCAAACACCCCCUUAGUUGGUGGAUCCAGACACAUCUAGCUAAAAUUUAGCUAGCCAAGGUAAACUUAAUAAAUUUUAACCAGCUAAAGUUUAGAUGGGUGGAUCCAAACCUGAUCUUGUUGGAAAAUUAGGCAAUUGUAUGAUUAAAUUCUGAACUAUAUUUCUGAUAAAAAGAAUUAAACCUAGCAUGCAGGACUCUAACAUACUAGGCAAUAGCAGGAACGACAUCAUGUUCUCAUAAAACAUGCUAAAAUAAUAGAUCAAAUCACAUCGUACGUACUCAGCGAGCGCAGCCGUGAUGGGAAGCGGUGCUGACGGAACGACGACGGUGUUGCGGAUGGAGCGCAGCAGACGACGCUGAAGACGACGAGCUGCCGCAGCGCCGGACUUGGUCGAAAGACGAGCCGUGGUGAAGACCUUGAGCAGUCGCGCUGAGCGCUUCUUAAAAACUUUAUUCGCCCUCUCCCGGUGUAGGAUCACAAGAGCGAGAGGUUUCGGAGACCUACUCUCCCGUUCGCCGGUGCACGCCGACACUCAGGAUGGAGUAGAUUACGGUGGCGGCGCAACAACGAGAAGAGGCAAAAACCUAACUCGUACAGACCACCUUGGGGAUACCCUAACUUGGGGUCUUCCCGUAUAGUAGUCUAUAUUGCGUCUAUUCCAUGAGGGAGGUGGUCCAUAUAUAUAGGGAGGAAAAGCCCCAACACCCUCGUUUAUUAGCAAUAUGGGACUAAUAGAUGGUGUACCCCCUCUUACGCUAAUAUGCCUUUGAGAUUUAUUCAGAAUUAUCGCCCAUAUAUCUAAUAGAUCUACGGGGGUGUUUGGGAGACCAGGGCUAAACUUUAGCCCCUAUCACAUCGGAUAUUUGAUACUAAUUAGGAGUAUUAAAUAUAAGUUAAUUAUAAAACUAAUUGUACAAUCCCUAGGCUAAAUCACGAGACGAAUCUAUUAAACCUAAUUAGUUCAUGAUUUGACAAUGUGGUGCUACAGUAACUAUUCACUAAUAAUGGAUUAAUUAGGCUUAAUAGAUUCGUCUCGCGAUUUAGCCUAGCGGUUCUGCUAUUAGUUUUGUAAUUAGCUCAUAUUUAGUCCUCCUAAUUAGGGCGAGUUUGGCAGGGCUCCUCGCGAGGGGCUCCUCGUGCGGAGCCGGAGCCGGAGCCGUGGAGCCACUUUUUUGAGCUCCUUCAUGCAGGCCUAAAACGGCUCCGGCUCCUCCCAAAUGUGCCAAAAAAUGGCUCCGCGGUCAAUGCCGUUUGGUGCGGCUCCGGCUCCUUCGUGCUUCGGUAAGCGCACGGAGCCGGAGUCGGAGCCCUGCCAAACUGGCCCUUAGUAUCCAAAGAUCCAAUGUGAUAGGGCUAAAGUUUAACCCCUCCUUCCCAAACAAAGCCUAAAUUGAUUGCCGCGGUCAGUGUGUACCUUGCUGAACUCCGCCUGCGCGAGCACCAAGUGAUGGCAGAUUUUACCCUAUCAGUAGAUCGGUCGUAGACUCAUGGAGUCGUAGUGACUGCGGCAGUGGCGAAACUGGAGCUAGCCACAAUUCAGCAUAACUUGCAUGAGCAAAUGAGGUACACGGUAACGUGCUGCUGCAGGACAGCAGGAGGAAGAACAGUGAACAUGGAAGAACAUCCAGCUGCUUGUUACUGCUGACGCCGGACCGGGGUCGCCGGCCAGCAGGCCUGGGCUUCGGCUGGCUUUGCCGAACGGACCGGAGCCCGAGCCCGUCACGUUGCGCCCAGCCGUCCACCCCGGGGCCGGUUUCGGACGUGGCUAGGGACUCGCCACAAGAUAGGAAAAACUCGAAGGCAGUGGUCCCGUGCCACGGAACGUACCGCCAGCCCCUUGCUCCGAUUCCCUGCCUCCCAGAGCCUGCAUCUGCCGUGAAUGGAUCGAAGCAGCUAAAGAGGAAAUGGAUUUUUCAUUUUCUUGGGUUCCUCGUGUCCCCAUCCACUGAAGUUCUCUGAAUAUUUGGAUCCUGCCUCUGAAUCUCUGAUGCUCUAAAAGUUUUCUUGGACGCCUCCAAAAAAGAAUUCGAUUAUGGUAAAUUUGAAAUCCGUUCCUGACUUCCUGUUGCACAAAAAGGAUCACAGGAACCAACGGUCCUUGCAAUUGCAGUUCUAGAAGUUCAUCGCUAAUAAGAGUCUCUGAUAUUGUAAACAUAUUAAAGAGCUCAUUUCCAACACAUACUUAUCCUGAAAAGUAAGACCCUUUCUCAGAAAACAAUUUUGUUGUGUCUCUGGCAUGCGGCUCUGCAUGUGUGAUUGCUGAUUUUACCUUCUGCAUAGCUGGAAUUAUCUAGAGUUGAAUUGGUGAAAAAUGAAACUGUCCCCAGUUUUUUCCCUUAAACAUGUUAGCACUGUCCUAAGUUUUAGAUUAAGGAAAAGAUCCGCCUCAACCAAGCACUGUCCUAAUUGGCUGCGCAAUAGUGCUAUAAGCCUACCAUUACGUAACUAGGGCAUUAUUCACGCUGUUUAGCAGGUAUUGAUGAAUUAUGCACUUUGGAACUUUGCAAAACUACUGUUUUGCCAGAACACUGAAUGCAUGUUCACCAUGUUCUUCCUUCCCUUCUGUUCUAGUCACUCAACCUUUUCUUUUGAUGUGAAAGAAAGUUAGUCCCUCACAUUUGGGGUGCAAAUUAUCCGUCUCCAUUUCAAUGAAAUGGCUUGCAGCUUUGUGGAAGUGAUCACAUAUAACACAGAGAAGCUUCGGAAGCUAGGGUGGACCUACAGGCCUAUGGAGGAAACCAUCCGGGAGAGCGUCGAAUGCUACCGAGGUUUGGGCAUCCUGAACUGAGCAUCCAUCCAGGCUGGGACACCUUUGCCAGCUUUGGCUACUAGCAAACUGUUUGUGUUGACAGGCAAACAUGCAAACUGUUUGUGUCGACUGCACGGUGCGAGGUAGUGCACAUGUUGAGAUUCAGAACGCCAUCGUUUCAGAGUCGUCUCUAGGCUUUUAGGCUGCAGAGCAUGCAGUAUUCUAUGAGGAUUACUUGUUGUGUGUUGUAAAUUUGUGAGUACAGAGUUGAACUGCCAAUUCAGAGUUUUCAAGAACAAAUCCAAUUGGCAGGUCAGUUUCCAGGCCAAAUGUGCACUUCCUGAUUGCUGACAUGGGCUUUAUGGCCAGACACAACAUAUUUGAUGAUACUUAUGUGCCCACAAACUUGCUAUCUGAAAAUAUUUCAGGUUAGCCUUCAGGCUUUUUUUGGGUGCUGAGUAGGAUUCAUUUUUUGGAGAUGGCUGAAAAGAACUUUUUCAUGAAAUUUGAGCUGUAAAAAAAGAGCUUUUUUACGGUACACAAUACUAUCUUAUACUACUGUUCGAAAAGGACUUACAGGAUCCGACGGUUGAGAUUAAUUGUAUACUACUGAAACCUUAAGCUGUAGUAUAGAUAGUAUGCAUGAGUAGUAUGGAUAGUAUAGUGGUAUGAUUGAAAAUAUGUAAAAUGACAUUGUUGGGAGAUUGACGGGCGCCACGGCCUGCGGGUGGUGGCGGCGGCCGAGCGCUGUCAGAUGGACGGGCUCUGUGUGCGGGCGGUGGCAGCAGCCGAGUGGGAAAAUGCCGUGUAGAAAAAAAAUCCCCGAAUAAUAUAUGUUGUGCUAAUUACAAUUUUACUCAUACUAAAAAUAAGUUAUACUUUAUACUACCACCAGGUAGUAUCGUGCACCGUAAAAAAGCUCGUAAAAAUAAUGUCGGUGGCUCUCUGAUGCUGCUGAAGGGAUUGGAGCAGUCAAGCAGGACUCAGUAGCUUGUACAGCAACACAUUUUCAAAUCUUUCUUUACUUUCAUCAUAGGGCCAAGGUUAAGCAUGGUGAGCGAGAGGUAACAGGGCAUCCGUAUUGAAUGGAAUAUUUUCAAGGAAUAAUGUAUUUGGAAGGUACCCCAGUACAUACGGCAGUACAUUACUGCCCAUGCCUAACUAUUUUAGCACCAUGUGCUAAGCAUGAUUUUGGCACGUACGUGACGUCUGCUUUAAUUUGAUGGCUGUACAUGCGCCUAAGCAGUUCGUUCAAAAAGAACAAUUACCAGAAACGAAGAGUGCUGAAGGCUAUUCUAAACCCAAAUACACAACGGCUGCAUCGCUCUUCAGUCUGGACGCAAGACGGCAGGAGUCAGCCGGGCAUUGAGACGGCCGGAGAGCAACGGACUGAGCAGAGGGAGAAAAAGCAUGGCGGCGCCGGCGAGGAGCACGGUGUGCGUGACCGGCGCGGGAGGGUUCGUGGCGUCGUGGCUCGUCAAGCUCCUCCUCUCCACCGGCCACUACGCCGUCCGCGGCACCGUGCGCGAUCCCAGUACGUAACGUAACCACACCCUCGCCGCCGGCCUUGCUCCCUGCCGGGAAGCUUCUGAUGGCAAAACAGGGCCCUGGAUUCUGCAAGCAGUUGACAAGGCACUGGAUACACUAAUUCCAGCAUGAAACAUUCGGUGUGUAGGUGGUGGCGAGAAUGCUCAUCUCAUGGCGCUGGAAGGUGCCGGGGAGAGGCUUCGGUUGGUCAAGGCUGACGUACUGGAGUACGGCAGCGUGGCGUCGGCAAUCGCCGGCUGUGAUGGUGUCUUCCAUGUAGCCAGCCCUGUGCCGUCCGGCCCAUGUCCCAACCCUGAGGUGAAACAACUUAGGGCUUGUUUGGCACCGCUUUAGCCGGCUUCGGUUUCAGCACUGUAGUGCAUCUAGCACGUGCCAAAGUCGGAGUCGGAGCUGGGGAAGUUAUUUUUUUUGCUUCACCGGCUUCCUCUCUUCCCCAUUCAUUUUGUGCCUCGGUUUGCGUUUUGACUUUAUACUACAGUGCAACACAGUAGUACUAUGUUUUCUUUUUUUUUCUUAUUAGUUUCUGUACAUUGUUUCUCUUUUUUCCUGAUAAGUGUACAACAUCGUAAGGACUUUUUUUAGGCAGGGGGUGUAGAGCUAGCUUCGUAGAAACCUUUUCGGAUUCAAAUUUUUUGGAAAAAUAUGAUUUGAAAAUAAACUCCUACAAAACAAUUUAAGCUGAUUUUUUUUCGACAUCAUCAAUUGGCACGCUAAGAGUAUGUAAUUUCUGCACGAUUGUUUUGUUUUGAUAAACUAGGUGAAAGCUUUAGAAUCGCUUGAAAUGGUCAUUUAAUCGUGUUUGAUUUGUUUGGUUCAUUUACUAGCCGCACAUAAGUUUUCUGUGUAUAUGUUGUUCUUUUGAUGAUAUUUCCAUGUGUCUGCUCCUCCUUCCAAUGCAAAAUAUAUGAAAUAGGAUAUCAGUGUUACUAAUCAAACCAGGCUUUCUAGCUCUUUGUGGGUGAUACCAGUCUUAUUCUCCCUCUAUUUAUUUUUUACAAAACAUAUUUUAUUUCUUUAGGACAAAUCUUUUGCCAACAAUUACUCUGCUAAUAUGUAAUUUAUGUGAUAUAAACUUAUAACAUAAGUAAGUAUUUUAAUACAAAUCUAAUAACAUCAACUUGUGAUACAAAAUUAUGUAUUAAUAGAGUAAAUGUUGGUAAAAGUCUUUGUUCUAGCGAAACUAAAAUACGUCUUAUAAAGGUAGAUAGAGGAGCACCAGUUUUUGUCUUCUUCAAGUACACUAAGUACAUACUUAGUACUUCCUCUAUCUACCAAUAUAACGCAUAUUUUGAGUUUUUGACUAGGGAAAAGUCAAAUUUAACCAACAAUUUAUCAAAUUAUUUACAUUUUAGUGUAUAAAAACUAAAACAACAGAUUUGCACUCAAAGUAGUUUUAAGAUGGUGUUGAUUUUGUAGCAAGUGACCAUAUAUUAUACCAGAAAUUAGGAGCCACAAUCAAAAUACAUCUUAUAUAUUGAUGGACCGGGGUAGUACUUGUCAAUUUGUUAGAAAUAACUAGUAGUUAUGGUGUUCUAUUACCUCCUGAGACUACCUUUUACAAUCCGCGUUGCAGGCAGAUGUCUUAGCUGCUACUGUAACUGGCACACUGAAUGUGUUGAAAGCUUGCUACGAGGCAAAAGUUAAGCGAGUUGUGGUGGUAUUUUCAUUUGUUGCCGUGGGUUUCAAUCCCUGGCCCAAGGGCAUCGCCUUCAACGAAGAUAGCUGGUCAGAUGAGGAGUACUGCAGAAAGCAUCAGGUAUAUCAUAGUAGGUCAUGCAAGCAACGUAGCGCAGGAGUUGUUAUGAACGGCGUAUGGAAUAUGAAGUAAAGAAUCAAACCACAAAAGGAGACACACGAUUUACGUGGAAAACCCCUUCAAUGUGAAGGGGAAAAACCACGGGCACCAGCCGGCAACAAUCUCACUAUCUCAAGGGUUUAGGGUUACACGCCUAUGGCGGCUUACAAGAGAAUCUGAUAAUCUCUUUCUCUUCUGUCGUCCUAUCUCUAAAACCCUAGCAAGGGUGUAUGUAUAUAUAGAACCGAAACCCUAGACAGGGGUAUUGAGCUGUACGGACUCUUGGUCCCGUGCAAGGAUGGAACUCCUCCUCGUCCGACCUUGAGUCCUUCGUCCUGGAGUCGGAUGCGCCUGGGACUCCGCCUCGCCCGACCUCAAGCCUGGGGUCGGAUGCGCCUGACCCCUUGAGGGUCGAUCUCCGACUCGCCCGACCCCGAGUCCUGGGGUCGGGAGACGCUCCGACUCGCCCGACCCCAAAGUCCAGGGGUCGGGAGACGCUCCGCCUCGCUCGGCCCCGAGUCCCGGGGUCGGGAGAUUCUCCGCCUCGCCCGACCCUGAGUGUUAAGGGUCGGGAAGGUCGGCCUUUAUCCUGGAGUGAAUUUGGAACAACUCCAACAAACUCCACCUUGAGACAAAUUCAUCUUGUAUCAUCAACCCUUCAUCCUGAACAGAAUAAAGACAGGAAAAAAACCACUGGUGCCAACAAUAGUCUCUUGGACUAUCCAAUUAAACCAACUAAGCCUGAGCACAGCUCAAACUUAGUAAUAGGAACAGGCUUUGUCAUCAUAUCCGCAGGAUUAUCAUGAGUACUGAUCUUGCAUACCUUCAGCUUACCUUCUUCAAUCACAUCACGCACAAAAUGAUACUUGAUAUCAAUGUGCUUAGUUCUUUCAUGGAACAUUUGAUCUUUAGUGAGGUAAAUUGCACUUUGACUGUCACAGUGCAAACUUAUGCAAGAUUCAACUCCACAAAGCUCAGCGUACAAACCUUUCAGCCAAAUCAAUUCUUUGCACGCUUCACAAAUCGCCAUAUAUUCUGCUUCAGUAGUAGACAGAGCAACAACCGACUGUAAAGUAGCCUUCCAACUCACAGCACAACUGCCAACAGUAAACACAUAGCCUGUGAGUGCUCUUCGCCUGUCCAGAUCAGCAGCAUAAUCUGAGUCCACAUAGCCAACAAGACCCUCAUCAGUUCUUCCAAACUUUAAACAGGAAUUUGCUGUGCCUUUGAGGUAUCUGAAAAUCCACUGAACUGCCCUCCAAUGUUCUUUGCCGGGAUUAGACAUAUAUCUACUAACAAGACUCAUAGCAUAUGACAAAUCUGGGCGAGAGCAAACCAUGGCAUACAUCAAGGACCCAACAGCACUAGAAUAAGGAAUCUUUGACAUGUAUUUGACCUCUGCAUCUGUACUAGGACACUGAGCAGCAGACAACUUGAAGUGAGGUGCAAUAGGAGUACUUACAGCCUUAGCAUCUUGCAUGUUGAAACGCUGAAGAACUUUCUUGAUAUAAUUUUGUUGACUAAGAAAUAACAAACCAGAAUUUCGGUCUCUACUAAUUUCCAUACCAAGAAUUUUCUUAGCACUACCAAGAUCUUUCAUAUCAAAACCGCUACUCAAUAGCUUCUUUAACUUAUUUAUUUCAGUCUUACUCUUGGCAGCAAUCAGCAUAUCAUCAACAUAUAUCAGCAAGUAUAUAGGUGAUCCAUUAACAUGCUUGAUAUAAACACAGCUAUCAUACUUAGAUCUUUUAAAACUGUGUGAUAACAUAAAUGAAUCAAACCUCUUGUUCCACUGUCGAGGGGACUGUUUCAAACCAUACAAGGAUCUCUUCAACUUGCACACAUAUUUCUCCUUGCUAGGCACUAUGAAACCUUCUGGUUGGUCCAUGUAUAUGUCCUCCUCGAGUUCUCCAUGCAAAAACGCAGUCUUCACAUCUAACUGCUCAAGCUCAAGAUCAUGUGAAGCAACAACACUAAGGAAAGUGCGAAUUGAACUGUGUUUUACCACUGGAGAGAACACAUCAUUGUAGUCAACACCCGGAAUUUGGCUGUAGCCUUUAGCAACUAACCUUGCCUUAUACUUUGGAGGCUCACUUGGAGAUAAACCCUCCUUUCUUUUGAAGAUCCAUUUGCAGCGGAUGGCCUUCUUAUUCUUAGGCAAAGGUACAAGUUCCUAUGUACUGUUCUUCUCAAGAGAUUGCAUAUCCUCAUGCAUAGCCGAAAUCCAAUUUUCAGUAUCGCCACAAUGAAUAGCUUCUUUAUAGGUUGCUGGCUCAUGAACAUUCUCCACCUGUUCAGCACAACUCAAAGCAUGGUAAGACAAAUUACACUCUUCAAUGAGACGGUUAGGAGGGGCAACUGUCCUUUUGGACUUGCGGUGAGCAAUGGGUAGUUCCUCCUCUGGAGUUUGCUGGACAUCAUCAUGAGCAUCAGCCGACCCCGAGACUGAGGGGUCUGGCGCAUCAGCAACAUCCGACCCCGCCGUCAAGGGGUCUGGCGCAGCAACAUCCGACCCCGGAGCCAAGGGGUCUGGCGCUUGAGCAUCAGCCGACCCUGGAGCCAAGGGGUCUGGCGUAUCCGACCCCGAGACCAAGGGGUCGGGGUUAUCAGCAUCAUCACGAGCGUUCUCCACCUGCAUGCGCAUGCGCUGCAGUUCUUUGUCUGGAACUUGAUCUGAUGACAAGCUGUCAGUAAACAUCAUAGAUUCAUUGAAAAUAACACUUCUGCUCAUAAAGGUCUUUCCUGUUUCCGAGUUCCACAAUUUAUAGCCUUUGACACCCGAGCCAUAACCAAGGAAAAGACAUUUAACAGCUCUAGGCUCUAAUUUUCCAUUAUCAACAUGAGCAUAUGCAGUGCAUCCAAAAACUUUCAGCUGUGAGUAAUCAGCAUGCGUACCAGACCAUACCUCAAUGGGAGUUCUUUUAUUUAGUGGAAUAGAAGGCGACCUGUUGAUCAAGUAACAGGCAGUAUUAGCAGCUUCAGCCCAAAAACGCUUGCUCAUCCUGGCAUUAGACAGCAUGCAACGAGCCUUGGAUAUGAUGGAUCUGUUCAUGCGUUCAGCCACACCAUUCUGUUGUGGAGUAUGGGGUAUGGUGUGAUGCCUUACAAUGCCUUCUGAUCUGCAAUAAUCAUUAAAUUCACGCGAACAAAAUUCUCCACCAUUAUCAGUACGAAGCAAUUUCACCUUCCUUUCAGUUUGUCUUUCAAUCAUGACUUUCCAGUCCUUAAAAGCAGCAAAGGUAUCAUCUUUCUGUUUCAGAAAAUAAGGCCAAACCCUUCUAGAGUAGUCAUCAAUAAUUGUGAGCAUGUAACGAGCACCACCAAGCGAGGACUUACGGGAAGGACCCCAUAAAUCAGCAUGAAUAUAAUCAAGAGUACCUUUAGUGGUGUGAACAGAAGUGUUGAAACGUACCCUUUUAUGCUUCCCGAAAAUACAGUGCUCACAAAACUUCAUUUUACUCGAAGUGCAGCCAUCCAGUAGGUUUCUCCUUAUCAAUUCUGCCAUACCAUGGUGACUCAUAUGUCCCAGACGCAUAUGCCAAAGGUUAGUUUUACUAGGUUCCUCAUUAGUAACAGCAGCAACAGCGGAAUCAGAACCAGGUAAAGUACACCCUCUAAGGACAUAUAACUUUGCAGAAUUGAGAUCACCUUUCAAGCAGACAAGAUUACCUCUUGAUACCUUCAGAACACCAUCCGAACCAGAAUAUUUGUAACCUUUUGCAUCAAGCGUGCUCAAUGAAAUAAGAUUUCUGCACAUCCCUGGUAUGUACCUGUCGUUUUUCAGAGUGCGUGUCAUGCCAUCAUGAGUCUUGACCUGAACUGAUCCAAUCCCCACAAUAUCACACGGGCUAUUAUCUCCCAUCCGCACAACAUCCCCUUUUUGCACAGGCUUAUACGAGCUAAACCAAUUUCUGUUAAUGCAAAUAUGAAUGUGUCGUAGUUCAGCAGCGGUAGAUCAAACUUCAUCGACGUCGACAUGAAACCAAACAGCAACCAAGGCUCUGGUACCUCUUGUUAUGAACGGCGUAUGGAAUAUGAAGUAAAGAAUCAAACCACAAAAGGAGACACACAAUUUACGUGGAAAACCCCUUCAAUGUGAAGGGGAAAAACCACGGGCACCAGCCGGCAACAAUCUCACUAUCUCAAGGGUUUAGGGUUACACGCCUAUGGCGGCUUACAAGAGAAUCUGAUAAUCUCUUUCUCUUCUGUCGUCCUAUCUCUAAAACCCUAGCAAGGGUGUAUGUAUAUAUAGAACCGAAACCCUAGACAGGGGUAUUGAGCUGUACGGACUCUUGGUCCCGUGCAAGGAUGGAACUCCUCCUCGUCCGACCUUGAGUCCUUCGUCCUGGAGUCGGAUGCGCCUGGGACUCCGCCUCGCCCGACCUCAAGCCUGGGGUCGGAUGCGCCUGACCCCUUGAGGGUCGAUCUCCGACUCGCCCGACCCCGAGUCCUGGGGUCGGGAGACGCUCCGACUCGCCCGACCCCAAAGUCCAGGGGUCGGGAGACGCUCCGCCUCGCUCGACCCCGAGUCCCGGGGUCGGGAGAUUCUCCGCCUCGCCCGACCCUGAGUGUUAAGGGUCGGGAAGGUCGGCCUUUAUCCUGGAGUGAAUUUGGAACAACUCCAACAGGAGUAGCUGCUGAAAUCUUUUUGUGCUAAUGUUCAGAUGGCACUGAGCAUGUUUUGUCUCUUUAUCAGGUGCUAAUAGCAUGUCCUCUUCAUGCAUUCUACGUUUAUUUGUUUCACUUUGAUUUUUCUUUUCUGAAAUGUGAAUGCAUUAUCAACACUUGGUUAAUAGCUUUUGCAUGAUGUAAUAUCCUUCCAUCAAUGACUUGACUGCUUCUAUCCUGGAAGAAUAGGCAGAUACGAUUUUUGUCUGGAUCAUAUAAAAAUAAUGUUGUCCUUGUUUUUGUUCUUGUAGGAAUUUGGAUGGUAUUUCCUUUCUAAAACAUUGGCAGAGCGUGAGGCCUUUGCUUAUGUAGCAAAAACUGGACUGGAUGUUGUAACUGUUUGCCCAACAUUGGUCAUCGGACCAUUGAUGCAAUCUUCAAUUAGCACAAGCGUUAAAAUAUUUCUCAAUUAUAUCAAAGGUGGAUAUGGUUCAAUUGUUUCUAUUUAGUCAUUUAGUAGCGAGCCGAGAAAAGAGAAAAAUAGGAUGACAUAAAACUUAUUAUUUACAACAACUAGACGAAAGGACUCUAAUCACUUGACUGAUGCAGUCAUGCCUCACUCAGCCAAAAAACAAUUGGUUGUAAGUUGUAACAAAUGGUUCCUGCAUAAAGUAUUUCGCUAAAGUUACAGCGAUAGUUUGGGUUGAGAUUUUUCCUUUUCCUUUUCGAAAUGAUCAUAUAGCUUUUAUAUUUUAACUAAAAAGUGCAUAUAUUAAGCCAUUAAGGUAGUACCUCUCUGUUGCUUGUUUUGAAUAGAAAACAAUGAAGCAUAUCAAUCGAUCAUCCUAGUAUUUGAGUUUGGUGCUCUGUCUAUUGAAACAAACACUACCUUCUCUACUGCAACAGAUGAGGAGGAGUCCGUCGAACAUAAGUUUGAGCAUUUUGUGGAUGUUCGUGAUGUUGCUGAUGCUCUUCUGUUGGCUUAUGAAAACCCAAAGGCGUCUGGAAGGUACCUUUGUAGUUCAGCACCAAUAAGAGUCUCCGAUAUUGUAAACAUAUUAAAGAAUUCAUACCCAACGAACAACUAUCAAAAAAGUAUGUUCCUUUUCUCAGCAAGUGAUUUGGUCUGAUUUUAUCUCUGCAUAAAAAAAAGAAACACUAUAUGUUUUGCUAGAUUAUUCAAAUGCUUGCUUACAAUAUCCUUGUCAGUUGCAAUGCAAUGGCUUGCAGCUUUGUGGAAACAGAAAACAGCACCAGGUGUAACACGGAGAAGCUUGAGAAGCUAGGGUGGAGCUCCAGGCCUAUAGAGAAAACUCUCCAUGACAACAUCGAAAGCUGCCGAGCUCUUGGCAUCCUGAAUUAGCCUCCAACUUGGGGACCAUUUGGCCAUGGUGAGACUGAAUAAGCUAGAGAAGUAAUGAGUAGCUCAGGUAAGAGUAGUACCCUCCAGUUGAGGCCCACUCUGUCUGGGGUGCAGUUAUGCAUCACAGAAGAUGACAGAUAAACCGUUGUCAUCUUCUGCGGCUGGUCUGCAGCCUGAUUGGUAGGCCACGUGAUGAUUAUUAGGCUGUGCCGUUGAAAGAAUUGAGCGGGGUAAAAACUCACUAGAGUUGGUAAUGUCAUUCACGUGUAAGAGAGUCCGAAAACUAAAAAAGUCAUAACUCUUGAACCGGACCUUCAAAUCAAAUUUCGAUUGUACCAUUAAAUUUUUUAUAGCAAGAUGUUCAAAAUAAGACCCCACUUGAUUGUGUUUGGAGAAUAUUUUUAAAAAAUAUUUUUAAGAUACGGAUUAUUUAGUUAUGAAUACUGCGAACAAAUGCUUCAAUACCACGAACAAAUAACUAUUUUUGCGAACAAAAAAUUAAAUAUAUUUUUUGAGUUCGUAUAUUUUGUUCUAUGCGUAUGAUUUUUUUCCACGGGUUUGUAUAAUUUAUUCCACGUUAUAUGUCUCAUAGAAUAUGCUACCUUGAUUAAAAAAUAUGAAUAAAAACGUUCGUCCAAGUAUAGUCAAUUAGGAUCUUGUUGUAAAGCUUUUAUUGUCAAAAAUCCAAUAGUGCAAUCGGAAUUUAAUUUUGAUGAUCGGUGUAAGAUUUAUAGCUUACACGAUUGUGUUUCUUAUAAUAAAAUCUUCACAACAAGAUCCCACUUGACUAUAUUUUGAUGCAUUUUUUAUUCAUAUUUUUUUAAAUUAAGGUUGCAUAUUUUUUGCGAAAUACACGUGGAACAAAUUCUACGAAACUUAUGGAACAAAACAAUCAUACGUAUUGAACAAAUUAUACGAACUUGCAGAACAAAAACGAAUACCCACAUGCAUGAAAUUUUUGAAAUUAAAAAAAUCAAAAAUCAUAAACCAAACAUCCAAAUUUGAUUUCGAUUGCACCACUGUAUUUCUUUUGACAAAAUCUUGAAAACAAGAUCACAGUUGACUAUGUUUGGAUAAAAAAUUUUAUAACCAUUUUCUAAUAUAAAAUAUUAAUUUUGAUCAUAGUGAAUAAAUACUUGAAUAACUAGAAUAAAUAAUUAUCUAAUACGAACAAAUAAAAUAACACGAUGAGCAAAUGAUUAUAAAUAAUGAAUGAAAUACUGAACAUCAGAAAAAUAACAUGAUGCAAAUAAAAGAUAUGUACAAAUAAUAAUAUACUCAAACAAAAAAUUGAAAAUUUGAUAUUAUAAGAAAAAUAGUAGAAUAUGAGAGGAGUUGAUACUCCAAUCUCUUAAGACAAAUCUCAGUUUGUCUUCUCCUAAGGAUGGAGUAGUACUUAUGUGCCUUAUGAUUGCAAUUUCAAGCUAUCCUAAAAUAAGUAGACAUUUGUAUGAACUAGAAUAAACAUACAACUAGUGCGUAUUUCAAACAUACAACUAGUGCGUAUUUCAAACAGCUCAUCCUUUGGAUUUAUUCAAAUCAUCAGCCUAGCGAAAAAAAAGUCUAGGCUAUCAAAUAGACGAGUCUGCUUACAUUCUCGGACCAGUGGCUUUUGGAGAAGCUCUGAGUAAGAAACUAAGCAAUAACAACGACGACAGUAGAACAGAAUUUCCAGAGCCGCCUAUCCUAGGCUCAGAGAAAACCGACCAUCACCAUGGAGACGCCGGCGAACAUGACGACGGCCAGUCCGAAAGCCACCACCGGGUGACGGCGCCAACGGCGACGGCGUGGACGGCUGAGGAUGCGGCCACGAUCCCCAGCAUAGACGGUGCCCGUUCCCCAGCCCGUCGUCUUCACCGGACGCCUUCUUGGCUCAGCACCCGCGGACUUUUCAAUGCGAAUCUACACGAUCAGGAACACAAGUUAAAAAGGAUUCUCAAAAGACUUGGAGACAAUUUAAUUACCUGCAGCAGCAUGUCGCUGAUGCCGAUGAUCAGCGCGCCGGGGUGCGGGGCGCCGGGGUACUGCCCGUUGCUCAGCGCCUGCACGCAUGAUCCAACACAGAUUUUAAGCUUUGUUCUGCUGGAGUGAGUUCGUUCGCAGGCCUCAAGUCACUGAAAUGGAUGUUGAGGAGAUAAUUGAUCACCUGCAGCUGGUCGCCGAUGUUGAUGAUGAGCGCGCCGGACUGCGGGUUGACGGCGACCCACUUGCCGUCUUGGGGUUGUCCACGGCGUCCACCUGACUCUCUCAGCUUGCCGGUGAAGCCAGCAAUCAGACUUCACCGCCUUGGCACCUCUUGUGAGUCGUCUGGUGAACCAGUUGAAAGAUGAUGGAUAGUAGGAUAUCCAAGAGAGUUCAACUGUGCUGACAACACUACUAUCCGAAGUUCCGAACAGCAUGGAAUCAACAGUACUAUCCGCAGGCGUAUAAAUGUGAUGACAACAGUACUAUCCAAGAGAGUCAUGCCGGUGGAACGAGGAACCAAAAUCAGUAAAGAGUCAUGCCACCCGGUGGAAGCUGUUCAGUUCUCUCAUGCUACAUGACAAAAAGUGGUAGUACUGAUAGCCAAACCAUACUGAGUAACACAAAGUGGUAGUACUCUGAUAGGAUUGCAUUACAUGGCCAGAAGAGAGUAUUGCUCACAGACAGUACUGUCUUACAUCAUCUCUCAGAAGAGAGAGUACUGCAUUACAUGGCCAGAGGAAAGGACACUUGGACUAUAGUUGCGCAGCUUCAUUAUUUGAGCCCACACGGCAUGAGAAUGAUUCUACAUCAGCAAGCACACAGUAGCAGUAGUAGUAAGUGUACGAGAGACAGGGUGUGGUGAUUGUGAUUCUUCCAUUGGAGGUCGUUACUGCAUCAAUGCAUCUGGGAGAGGCCAAGAAUCCCAACGCUGAUCAGGGAGAGGCCGAGGAGGAGCAGAGCAAACAUGCCGAAGCAGAGCACCUGGCCUGCUUCGCCGGAGAUCGCCGUGACGGCGCAGGAAGCCAUCACGAGCCCCACGACGCCGAGGUUGCGACCAAGGAACUCUGCGAGAGCACGCGCCUCGGCCAACACUGCCGGGACGACGGGCGUCAGGGCGGCGUCGGAGAUCCGGAUGCCGACUACGAUGAUGUUGGCGCCGGCGAGAACCCCCGCGAAGCAGAGUAGCAAGCCGAAUCCGCCGGCGCCGGAGUUGAAUCCGGCGCUGACGGAGAACAGCAAGAUGGCGAGGCCGGCGAACAUCGCCGUGGUGCCCGGAGUGGUCAUCGUCGGCCGCGUGGCACCGCAGUCCCCUGCUUAAUUGGAGAGGGCCGUCGAGCGAGCAGGCGAGGCACCGCUGCACCGGGGAGGGAAGCGUUGCCGAAGAGGCGAAGAAUGCAGCGGGAGGAGGAGGAGAAGGAUCUGGGCGGUGCGCAGCGGACGGGGGAGCCGGAGGAGGCGAGGAGCGAGAUGGUUGGGGUCGGGGAGGCCCGGGAGGGCCAUUUAUACGCCUGCGCGGCCCCACCGUCCCCUCAUAUUAACGCAUAUCAUAUGUAGUUGUUGAAGGUACGAAGAGGUAGAGAAGGGUGCACUAUAAGAGAAGAGGUAGAGAAGGGUGCACUAUAAGAGAAGAGGUAGAGAAUACCCACCUAGGGAUCCACUCCCAUCCGGCGGCGCGCGCUGCCGUCGUGUCGUCGCCUGCAGCUCACUGGCGUCAAGGACAGCGCGUGGGCCCAGCCUCACGGAGUACAUCUGGAUGUUGACGCGCGAUGCUGCAGCGGCGGCCCGGCCCGACGGCUGGACAACAUCGCAUGUCAACCGCGCUGCGCACCGCAUGUCAACAUCGCAUGUCAACAUCGCAUUUCAAUUCAUUAAAGUAACAAAAACUUAUUUUCUACUCUCAAAACUUUUAGUCUAGCCAUCGCAUGUCAACAUCGCAUUUCAAUUCAUUAAAGUAACAAAAACUUAUUUUCUACCCUCAAAACUUUUAGUCUAGCCAAGCUAAACUUGCCAUACCAUAAUAUGAAGAUCCUCAAUAAAGAUGAAGAGAUUACGUAUUAUUUAACAUAUAUAGAAAAGAAUGUGAAUAUAUAAAAAAGAAUAUGUUAUGAGUAAAUUGCACCGGACUUGAAGGUGAGUCCUAUGAAAAGUCCUUAUCCUUAUCACACUGUACCUACCUGAUAACUAGCUGCAACUCUGAUCUGCAACUCUGAUGUAUAUUACUUAUGUAGGCACAUGUCAUCUAAGUAAAUGCAAUCGCAUGGGACAAGAAGUCUCAGUAGUUAAUAUUGUUCUUCUCUUUUAGAUGCAGUUUAAAUAUUGUUAGUAGAGAAUAACCUUCCUACGCAAGUUACUAUAGAUCUGGUUGAUCCACUGUUGCUUAUUAUCAGUAACUAUCAAAUAAGAACAGAUGCUGUGACAGUCCAAUUGCUAGUAAUUGUCUAGAUAAUACUGAAUAAUAAUGCGGUGCAAGUGUUACAUUUCAAUUGUGCACUAUAAAGAAAAGUUGAUAAUUAAAAUACAAAAUAUAGGCUGCCCGCCAAAAACACAAACACAUGAUUUACAACCUUAUAUAAGCAACUAAGGAAACCAAUAGAACAACCAAAAUGAAGACUUUACCAUUCUAUUUAAUCCAAUCUCGCAUACAUACGAGAGCCUCAAUUGUUUUGAUAUUCAAUGUGCUCCAUUGCUUAUGAAUCACCGGUCCCUCGCUGCUUAAUGCUGCCUCACCAUGCAUAGCAGAAGCAGGAAUUGCCAGGACGUCACGUGCCACAAUUGAGAGGAUUGGAUAACUUGUAGGAUUACUCAUCCACCAGUUCAGAAUAUCAAAAUCAUCCUUCCUUGGAACAAGUCCAUCUUCAAGGUAGUUCUUAAGUUCUAUCAACGCUAGGGUCCUUGUCUGCUCAUAAAUGUAUUUAUCCCAAUCUUCCAAUGUAUCCCUGUAAAAUCCACCCACUUGAACAACAGAAUUUGAUAUCUCAACACUUGGUUUAUCUAAUGCACUGCAAUAUUCAAGCAACAGCUCCCGGAUUGUAUCACGUACAGCAGACACACACUUUGCUGUGUCAGUGCCAAAAGCUUGUUUCAGACAGAACUCGAUAAGAGUAAGUUUGAAUCUGGGAUCAAGAACAACAGGUACUGACAACCACAAGUAUGAAUUCUGCCAAUACUCGUCGAAUGCUUCCUGCAUCUCCCAAACCAAGCCAGCAAGUUCAGUAUGAUUUGUAGAUGAUUCUUCUUCCAAGGUUGUCCUAAUUAUCCACAGUUCAUUGAAGUACCUAUUUGCUGUGGAACAGACAGGACCCGAAACUACUUCAAUGGCAUGAUAAAAAGCCCUUAAUAUCUUGCAAGCAGACUCAACAGUUUUAGUGUCUUCUGCAGAUAAGAAAUCUUGAGAGGAAAAUGUUUUCUUGAAAUGCAACACAACUUCGAGCCCAAAGUAAAUUUUGUGCCACCACUUUGCAUCUUCUUGGGGGCAUUUCAAUCCCAUAUGCGUAACUACUUCUAUAAGUAGCUCUUGAGUAAGCGCUGUGGACAUAUGUACCUGAAUAAAUCUCUCUAGUAUAUCAGCAACGAGAUGAAGCAGUGGUUGCCCCUUUGAAACAAUGUUGUUAAGCACAUCAUCCACGCAAGCAAUAUUGUAUAACUCACCUCCAAUAGGAAGGCAUUUCCUUUGACCGAGGAAGUCCUUGAGCUUUGAGGUACGCUCAUCGUUUCUAAUUUCGCUGACACAUGUCAAGCUGAAAAGCUUCUGAUCAAGAUUCCAGUCUCUUAUAGCUUCCCAUAUGAUGUUAAAUGGCCCACUCUCAGAAUCUAGUAUAGUAACCUCACUAAAUUGUAUCAUCCUAUCCAAAUUAGUGAGUGGCUGAAACAGACCAAACUUGAUGAUUCUCCUUUGAAGUUUCCAGUCUGAAUCAAUAAAAUGCACUGUCAAACAGAGAUACUUCACUGAGGCCUCAGCUCCAUGAGGAGUCCACAAAUAAGCUGAUAAGGAAACCCGAUGUGAUGCCCUUGAGGAACUUGCUAGCAUACUUUGCAAUCUGAACCAUACCAUUUGUCAAGGCAGGUGAAAGCUCAUCCUGAAGCCUAGACUUGGAACUUGGUUCACUGGACUGGGAAAAAACUCUUUUCUGAAGAUUUACGCUAGUUCUACCAUGGGCUGGACAAGUCUGACUAUGUCAGUUUAGUUGUCUUCUACUUUUAUCCACACUGAGUCGCUUGUGGCAAUGGACGCAUGCAGCUUCCUGGAUCCUCCCCUCAACAUAUAAUGGUAUAAAAUCUUUCCAUACCAUUGACCUGAUUUUUUUGUUGUCACUAUGAGCUACCAAGUUAAUGCCACCAUAUGAAUCUGUAAGAAUGUAGUCCAGAAGAUCUACAUCAUUCACCAGUAAUAUGCAUAAACAUUGAAUAAUUCAUCCAGAAAAUUAUGCAUAUUAUAUGAAGGACAUAAAAUGUGCGAAUAGCACACCCAAAUUUACACCAUACAAACCGACCAACAGCAAAAAUUAGUAUAUCAAUCAUUGUAACUGAACCAUGAGCUGUGUAGAAUCUAAUUUAUGCCCCUCCACUUUGCAAUAAUUGUCCAAAUUUACCAUGUACGCCAACCAACUAUAUACCAAACACUUGAUCUCUUUUGCAACAUUAAUGUAGGGUUAAUAUGUUGAAACAUUGUACUUUCUAUAUUUUUAUUCCACCAUAUGACAGUCAUUGUGCAAAUAACUAAGUGCUGGGCAUAAUACAAACAAAUUAUACAAGGUUCAUAAUUUCCAUACUAAUUGCAAAUGAAGAGGAAAAUACUAGAAAUCCCCACCAAAGGAAACAAAAUCUAAAGAAAUCAUCAAGCAGGAUCAUAACUCUACAACUGUGGCUAUUUAAGUUCAAAUUUAUCCUAUUGCGUAAGAGUUACUCAGUAACUAAAAGCAUACCAUAUCAAAACUCUGCAUCCUGUUGCUGCUGGCUUGUAGCCAAUCUCUCCUUCCCUGGGCAGAUUUCCUGGUGUUGAUACAAAGAGUCACUUUGACAGCUCAAGUGAACAUGGCAGUAUCGGCAUUCCACUCUAUCAACCACUCCGUUUUCGCACACAGGCUUGUAAUCAUCCCACAGCUUAGCUAUCUUAUUUCUGAAUCUGGAUUGACCAAUAGAAGCAGCCCCUGCUUGCGUAUCAUCACUGAUAUGCUCAUCCAACAGGUCCAUAACUGCAGAUAACAAUACGACAUUAUCAGCUUUCUUGACAGGGCGUAGUUAAGAUGCAACCUUGAUUCCAACCAGAAAAGGAAAUGCUUCACACAAUGCAGGAGCGGCAAUAUCUCUACAGACGGCUGGAGUGCUGGACAUAUCAGAAAAACAAUUCGCACAGACAAACAAACAGUAGGUGCAGAUGUGCAUGCAUUGAUCAUUAAGAGAAAGACCCAAAAAAAAACUUUUAGUUCUCCCAAAAUUGCUGGGUCCGAGAAUUGAUCCCACGACCUCUUGCUUGCUAUCGAAAGGUAACACCUGUUCUCCACAACACUAACACGCGCCCUGCCGCUCCAAUUUCUUGCAACUUCUAAGCCCGCAGAGCCGCAAGCAACUAAAACGGUAGCCAAUACCUAGCAUUCCCCGCACCACUACUCCCCAAGCGAAGACUGCAACUUUCUGGCCCAAAACGAACAAGAACACCAGCUACUGCAGUGCCCGCCCAUUCGCAGACACAAACAACACCAGGCAAGCAAUUCGUUCCCCCCAAAAAUUCAGGAAAUAAAAAGCAACAGUAGCGAGAGGAGGAUCGCAUCACUUACUGGUUACUGCUCGCCGGGAACUCAGAAAAGGAACAUCAUCGAAGAAAUGGAAUGCGCAAUGGCACUCGGGAAGUCGGAAUGCUUCCGAGGAAGUGCGCUGGGGAAUUGGAGGAGGGAGGAGACGGGGAGCAGAGUGGAGGGCUGAUCGGGGUGGGUUCGGUGGUGCAGCACCUCGAAUAGUUCCCAAAAAAAUUCUUCCCCAAAACGAGGUAUUGGGAGCUAUGCUAAAAAAAAUUUCCCCAAAAAACAUAUCAGCCCACAGAUGAACGCUAAAAACUAGCUCCUCAAUAUUUCAAAACACAUCAUGUCAUCGUAUUGGGACCAUUAGUUGAGCUGCCCACCUGCCCACCUCCCCCUCGUGAUCUCCAGCGGCGCGGCCAGGAGCUCACGUCGCCGAAGGAUUUUUCACGCCGGCAGGAACCCACAUCACCAGGAGGUCACGAUCAGGUUUGUGCCAUGGAGCUCAUCCUCUACUGAAAUACAUACACCUCGCUCGCUGUUGCUGCUUCCGCUUCGCGCUCGUGCUGCUUCCGCUGCCUGCUGAAUUAUUUCUCUCUCCCUCCUCUUCUUGCGUUUGUGUACUGUUGGUGUGUUUGUGUACUACUGUUGGUGUGCAGCCGAAGCCGUCCGGGCGAGCCAAUAGUUGCGUCACGAUCAGGAAUACAUUAAACCUUGAAAACAUCCAAAAUGUACCCUAAAGAGAACCAUAGACUUGCAGUAGGCAGGUAUUGCUCUGCUCCAUAUUUUGGUUCCGGUAGCCUGCUACUGACUUGCAUGCAGAACCAAUCACUCUUCUAUAUCUCUGUCUCUAACCUCACAGAAAGUGAAGGAGAUGAAGCUUGGAGGGCCAACUGUGUCCACUAAAAAGUUGAGCCUUAAAAUGGACUAGGAACUAAUUCUUGUAGUUUUAUGCUCAAAUGAUGAAAAUUCUUAUUCACAGAAUCAGUUAAAUGUGUAAUAUUUUGAACCAAAGAUGAAGACUUAAACAUUAACUGUAAGUUAUGACUUAUGAGCCAAUUCAGGAAAAAGAGAUGGUAUAGCAUUCAUAAUCAGCACAUCAUGAACAAUAAGGUUGGAGGGAACAUGCCACUGCGUUAAGUGAAGAAUAAUGCACAUGGAUAGCAGGACGUACGUGUCAUUGUUCCAAAUAAUAGUUCUAGGUACAUUGAGAACCUAAAUCUACACAUGCACUACAAUCUAGCAGAAACCAAGGGUAAGUAUAUUUGAUUAUUGCCCAUUCUCCCAUUUGUUAAGACUUAAGAACAUAAAGGUGAGGGUCACUUUUUCAGUAGAAAAUUCAAGAAGAACUUGUAUUGCAGUGAACAACAGUUUUCUGAUUGGCAUAAAAAAGAAAUAGUACUAAUAUUAAUCUCAGAUCAAGUAUAUGAAAACUUUCCUUGUUAUCAAUUAGCAUGACAGAUAAAAUUCCAGUACGAGCCUAAAGGCAGGAUGAUACAUUGAUACUAGAAGCCCCGAAGAUGUACAGCUCGAGGUUCGAAUUCUGAUGAAAUUGAGCUAGUAUGACUAACAAAAUUCCGGUGAAAUUGAGCUAUGAUGACUACAUGAUCCGAAUAUGGCUACAUCAAGAGCUCAACUUGGUCCCUCUUUACCUACCUGCACACGGGACGCCACCGCCACUUCCGCCGCGGCGGCCGGCCAGCGGCAGCGGAAGAGGUGCUCCCAGACGCAGUCGGCGUCGCAGGUGGUGCGCCAGAAGCGCAAGCAGCCGCCGAGCGCGCGCACGUCGGCCUCCUGCGCGCGGUUCGAGCCAGCGGAGUCAACGGGAGAACCACGGAAAGCCACACGUCGGUUCCUACGCGCCGGGAGAGGAGGGGGUUGGAGAUGGCCGCCGCCGCCUCCUGGAACCGGCGUCGGGAGGAGAGGAAUGGGCCGGAAAGGGGCGCGCCGGAGUGGGGAGGGCCGCCGCCGGGAGAGGAGGGGGCUGGAGAUGGCCGCCGCCGCCUGGAACCGGCGCCGGGCCCGGGAGGAGAGGAAUGGGCCGGAGGGGGCGCGCCGGAGUGGGGAGGACCGCCGCCCCUCGCCCCGCGGCGCUGUCGCCCCUCGCCCCACCGCUGCCGCUGCGCGCGCGGGAAGAGGCCGCGCGGGAAGGCUGGUCUGCUCGCGAGCGCGGGAAAGGGCAGCUCAGCGCGCGGGAAUCGCGAUCGGGGGGGGGGGAGCGCUGGUGGAGAAAGGCGAACACGAAAAUAUAUGCGGUGACCGGCUUAAAGAAUUAGGAAUGUUCAGGAACCGUUGAAUUUGUUUUUUUAUUUUUUUCUAAAGAAAAUAUUAGAAUAAGAUUAGCAGUCUUCUGGAGUGAGUUGUUGACCUCGAUGGACCGGCUGGUGGGGUCAGGUCGCGAGGAGCCCGACCCAGUUCAUGAUCUGGGCUGAAACGGGCUGUUUAUGUGCUACUGGUCACUUACUGGGCCUUCGGCGCAUUAGAAAUUGGGCUGUGUUUCCCGACGAACUGGGUCCGAAUAGGCUGUGCGGCCCGUCGUCCCUUUGGGGCAACGGCACAACCAUCUUUUUUUUUAAAGCUCUUUUUGCGAAAUAUUCUCACAAAUAUGCUACUGGGGGAACCAAUUCCAAAAAUGGACCCUUAGCUUGGCGCCAUCCACGCUGACGCCAAGCUUACACAUCUCGACGCCAGGCAUCCUGGCGCCAAGGUCCAUGCGCAGCUGCUGAUGUGGAAUCUGACGUGGCGGGGGCUUGGCGCCAUCCACACUGGCGCCAAGCCUCGGCGCCGUGGAUCUUGGCGCCAAGCUUGGCGCCAUCAUGAAUGGCGCUUGGCGCCGUGGAUCUUGGCGCCAAGCUUGGCGCCAUCAUGAAUGGCGCCGAGCAAUUUUCCCUCCUGGCGUUUCGAACGAGAAACAAGUAUAAUUAUUCCGAGGAGUGUGCAACAAACUACACUCUAGUUCAACUGGUUAGGAUGUGGGCUUCUUAUCCUAAACACAUGAGUUCUCAAACCCUUGUGUUGAAUCUUUUUUCCUACAUUUUUUUUAAUCAACAUGCAUGAUGGAUUUAUAGUUCGUUACCCAUGUCUGAGAUCAACCACUCCAAAAAAAAUGACCGGGUCAGUUCUUCACCUCUUACUAUUUUUGAGACAGGUAAGCCUAAUCCUAGGUACGCGGUUUUGAACUGUUGAUCAGCCUGGACCAUGCAUGCGNNNNNNNNNNNNNNNNNNNNNNNNNNNNNNNNNNNNNNNNNNNNNNNNNNNNNNNNNNNNNNNNNNNNNNNNNNNNNNNNNNNNNNNNNNNNNNNNNNNNUGAAUCAGACAAGUAGGCCACUACUAGGUACGCGCUACGUAACUAGAACAGAGUGUCACAUGACAGCAUAUGUUACUUACAGUGCUACUCACGUGACUGUCUGAGACCUGUGCAUUUAGUCGAUCUAGCUACGAGUCGAUCAACAGCUAAGUGCCUCGCGGAAAUGGUACAGCUCGCAAUGAGUAUUCUCCAUGCAGACUUACGUACAAAAUCAUUUUUAUACCAAUUAGCUAAAAAAAUAAAAUGUAGGAAAAAAGAUUCAAUAGAGGGGUUUGAAACUCAGAUCUUUAGGAUAAGAAGUCUAUGUUCUAACCAGUUGAACUAGAGUGUAGUUUGUUGCACAUUUCUUGGAAUAAUUAUACUUGUUUCUCGUUCGAAAUGCCAGGAGGCAAAAUUGCUCGACGCCAUCCAUGCUGGCGCCAAGAUCCACGACGCCAAGGCUUGGCGCCACCAUGGAUGGUGCCAAGCCCCCGCCUCGGAUUCCGCAUCAGCAGCUACAUAUGGACCUUGGCGCUAGGAUGCCUGGCGCCGAGACGUAUAAGCUUGGCGUCAGCAUGGAUGGCGUCAAGCUAAGGGUCUAUUUUUUGAAUUGGUUCCGCCAGGGGCGUAUUUGUGAGAAUCUUUCGCAAAAAGACUAAAAAAUAAAAAAGUCAGAUGGCACAACAUGGAUUCGGGCCGCACCGCGAUUCGGGCCCAGCUGGAUGUCGUUUAAAUUCAAGUUGAGAUUUUGCAGGGGAACACACCCAGUACGCCACGAUAACAUAGACAGAAUAUCAAAUGACUUCUCAGGUUAAAGCAGCAGCACUUCAUUCGCACUGUACAAAUAAUCUGCACCAGAAGCCUAACAAAAUCCUAGGCAACAAUGCAUAAUACUUGUCAACACCUAGAAGCUCUCCCUUUUAGCUUCUGCAAUACACACUCACGGGGAAAGAUUCGCUCAAAUAUACAAGCACAUACCAGUGGCUGCAAGAUGUUGGCCAGUGCACUCUUUUCUGAUAUCAUCCUAGGUUCCUGAGUUAGAAGCACCAUGGUUAUGAACUGCUUGAAAUCUUCUGUUGAUAAUUAAAAAUAAGGAAGCAUGCUAUCAGCUGUCAGCUUAUUGGUAGUUAGCAGCAGCAUGAUAAAUGGGCUGUGCAAGGAACCACUUGUCCCCCGAGAGCGUCCAGUGUCACGAAUAUUUCUAUUCCGCGCAAUACAAGCAAUUUAACACCAACCCCCCCUCUAUUACUCGUAGUUGCAUUAUUGGCAUGAUGCUAAAUUGACAAUACAAAUUUUUCGAUAAGGAUAAAGUGCAUAAUGUUUCAAAUUUUCGCUCCAUUACUUGUAUUUACAUAUUGUUUCGUAAAGGGAAAUUCAUCGUGACUAAAUUGCAUCAUAGGCACAGUGACUAGCAAGGUAAGGUCUAUGACAAACCCCUGACAUCCUUGAUCUGCAAGCCUGCAAUGCAUACUUUUAGUUGAGAAUGCAUGCUCACCAUAACAGAAAUACAGUAUUCAUACUUUUAGCUGAGAACAGGGGCGGAACCAGGAUGAACACCUGGGGGGGCUAAAUAGUAAAGAUUAAGAGCUAGGACUAGAAAUUAAUUGUGAUUUGAGACUUUAUCUACAGUAUUUUACAGGUAAAACAAGGCUCUCGGGGGGGUGCAGCCCCCUAGCCCUCCCCUUGGAUCCGCCCCUGGUUGAGAACAAGGGUUUUGCUAAGGUACUCCCAAAUGACUGUGGACCGUUGAUCUAAUAACAUAUUACCUCAUAGGAAGUAAUAUUAUAUCUAUUUUUUGAAUCUGAAAAUAGGAAAAGUAUUUUUCUAUUAGAUCUAACUUCCACGAUUGUACUAUAUCAUAUCUAAGUUUCUUUUUUGCCUCCCACGUGAACAUGGAUGGCGGUUCUGGUUCAAAAAACAAGAGAGAGAAGAACAUGACACCUUUAUGUGACAUGGAUCCGUUCGAAAAAAAUGUGACAUAAGUCAAGUAAAUGUGUUGCACGGAGAAAUGUGUCAUGGCCAUCUCUUUUUUUCCCCAUGCGGAUGCAGAUGUUUCGUUUCAAAGAAGAAAUGCAGAUGCAGAUGUUUCGUUUCAAAGAAGAAAUGCAGAUGCAGAUGUUAAAUUGCAUGUCAUAUGGAGAUGUUCAAGUAAACAUGAAGAUGUUCAAGUAUUUUUUUUUCUCCAUCCAGAUGCGGCCGUGUGUUCUGUUAAAAUGUUAUGACUUCGGUUGCAACUAAAAGAAAAGAAAUUGCAUGUUCACAUGCAGAUGUUGGACCUGUUCCUCCGAUCCUAAAUUGAAGGAAGCCGUGAUAAUGGGGAGCCGGUUGUUUCUUUUUUUUGUUGCUUUUUUAAUAUUUAAGGGCCUCAUUAGGUAAUCGGUGCACUGUAGCAUUGCCCUGAGAACAAACCUUUUUUCUGUAAGCUACUGCAGAUCCUACUGAUUUACUGGUGUUUAUCUUUCAGUAAUUAUUCUAGUGAUGCAGUUUCAAUAUUUUUAGUUGAGAGCAAACCCCUUGUUUGACCUAAGGCAGAUCCUAUUGAUUUACUGAUGUUUUUCCAGUAACCAUCUAGUAAGAAAAAAUGGAUGCUGUGAUGGUCCUAUUGCUACUAAUUGUCUAGCUAAUAAAAUAUGAUAAUGUGAAUGCUCCAACUCCAACAGUGCAAAAUUUUAUUGAGAACUGACAUGCCAAAUAUAAACAAAAAUUCUCUGAAGGACCACAAUAUUCAUGGAACAGCUCCCUUAUUGCAUCACGCACGGCAGAUACAUACUUCUCUGCAUCAGUACCAAAAGCUCGCUUUAGACGGAACUCAACAAAAGUAAUUUUGAAUCUCGGAUCAAGAACAACAGGUAUUGACAGCCACAAGUAUGAACUUUGCCAAUACUCAUUGAACGCUUCUUGCAUCACCCAAACCAUGUUAGCAAGUUCAGUGUGAUCAGAGGAUGCUUCUUCUUGCAAAGUUGUUCUAACUUUCCAUAGUUCAUUGAAGUAUAUAUUUGCUGUGGGGCAAACAGGACCAGAAAUUACUUCAACAGCACGAUAAAAACCCCUCAGUAUCCUGCAAACAGAUUCCACAGUUUUACUAUCUUCUGCAGAUAACAAUUCUUCUGAGGGGAAUGCCUUCUUGAAAUGCAGAAAAACUUCAAGCCUGAAGUAAAUUUUAUGCCACCAUUUCGCAUCCUCCUGUGGGCACUUCAAUCCAAUAUGUGUAACAACUUCUAAAAGUUGCUGCCGAGUCAGCGAUGAGGACAUUUGUACCUGAAUAAAUUUCUCUAGUAUGUCACCGACAUGGUGAAGCACUGGUUGCCCUUUUGAAACAAUGCUGUUAAGCACAUCAUCCACACAAGCAACAUUGUACAGUUCACCUCUAAUAGGAAGGCAUUUUCUUUGGAUGAGCAAGUCCAUCAGCUUUGAGGUACCCUCAUCCCUUCUAAUUGCAUUGACAGAUGUCAAGCUGAAAUGCUUCUGAUCAAGAUUCCAAUCUCUUAAAGCUUCCUGUAUGACAUUAAAUGGACCACUAUCAGAAUCCAGUACGCAGGCCUCCUUAAAAUGUAUCAUCCUUUCUAAACUAGUAGGUGAGGACCAAAACACACCAAAUUUGAUGAUUUUCCUUAAGUUUACAUUCAGAAUCAAUAAAAUGCACUGCCAGACAGAGAUACUUCACUGAGGCCUCAGCUCCAUGAGGAGCCCACACACUUGCUGAUAAGGAAACCCGAUGGGAUAAAAGAGCAAUCUUUUUCCUUUAGAUCAGUCUUUUCUUUCUGAAAUAAAAGAGUUGAAUACUCUUCUAUAUCAAUGCUCGAAGCCAUGUUAAAUGCAGGGUUCAGGCUCUUUGCAAACCUUUUCAUUUCUUCAUGUUCCACAAUUGACAAGGGAUAGCCAUGUUCCACAAUUGACAAGAGAUAGCCUGAUCAUCAUGUUGCUCGAUGUCGGCGCAGGCAUCAACUUCGGCGACUGCGACGGAUUAUCUGGCCCAACAUGAUCGCCGCCGGCGUCAGGACGGCCGACGACCCAGCAGCACCCAUCGGCCCCGCGCUCGCAGGGUUCGCCGGUGCACGUGCGUUCAUGCGGCGCAACCUCGCCGUCGUGGGGCUCGUCAUGGUAUCCUCUGCUUUCACAGCGGUUGACAGGCCCGGCGUUCUCCUUCAUGAUAUUUGUCCUGCUGGUGUUCGGAGUCUCUGUGAUCAACAUCGGAGUCCAUGGUGCCUUAUGAAAGCAAUUUCAAGCUAUCCUAAAAUAAGUAGACAUUUGUAUAAACUAGAAUAACCAUAUAACUGGUGCGUAUUUCAAACAGCUCAUCCUUUGGAUUUAUUCAAAUCAUCAGCCUAGCGAAAAAAAAGUCUAGGCCAUCAAACAGACGAGCCUGCUUACAUUCUCGGACCAGUAGCUUUUGAAGAAGCUCUGAGUAAGAAACUGAGCAAUAACAACGACGACAGUGGAACAGAAUUUCCAGAGCCCGCCUAUCCUAGACUUAGAGAAAACCGGCCAUUGCCAUGGAGACGCCGGCGAACAUGACGACGGCCAGUCCGAAAGCCACCACCGGGGUGACGGCGCCAACGGCGACGGCAUGGACAGCUGAGGAUGCGGCCACGAUCCCCAGCAUAGAUGAGAGGCUGCCACGACCGCGACGGUGCUCGUUUCCCCGCCCGUCGUCUUCACCGGACGCCUUCUUGGCUCCCGGUGAAGCCAGCAAUCAGACUUCACCGCCUUGGCACCUCUUGAGUCGUCUGGUGAACCAGUUGAAAGAUGAUAGAUGGUAGGAUAUCCAAGAGAGUUCAACUGUGCUGACAACACUACUAUCCGAAGUUCCCAACAGCAUGGAAUCAACAGUACCAUCCGCAAAUGUGCUGACAACAGUACUGACAACUAUCCAAGAGAGUCAUGCCGGUGGAACAACGAGGAACCAAAAUCAGUUAAGAGUCCUGCCGCACGGCAGCCACCCGGUGGAAGCUGUUCAGUUCUCUCAUGCUACAUGACAAAUUAUUUGUCCAAAACGUCAUCUUAUUCUGAACAGAGAUAGCAUGUAGCAGAUUCUUAGUUGAUUAGCAUUUCCUAGGACAAGAAUAAUUUUAGGAAACUUGCAAACAGAUACUCAAAACAUCACGCUUUCAUCAAACUAUGCACGUGAUUGCAUUUUAUCCAAUGCUGACACAUAGUUUUUUUUUUUGAAGAAACAGGAGGGGAGGGUCCCUACUGGUUAUACGAGAGCGAAGCAAAAGGGAAAACAGAAAAGAAAACAUACUACAAGGUGUGCAGCCUGUCAUUAUUUGUCUUACAUCAUCUCUCAGAAGAGACAGUAUGGCAUUACAUGGCCAGAGGAAAGAAGGACACUUGAACUAUAGUAGCGCACAUUCAUUAUUUGAGCCCACACGGCAUGAGAAUGACAGCAAGCAGGAGGCAGCAGCAGCAACAGAUACUCAAUGCAUCUGGGAGAGGCCAAGAAUCCCAACGCUGAUCAGGGAGAGGCCGAGGAGGAGCAGAGCAAACAUGCCGAAGCAGAGCACCUGGCCUGCUUCGCCGGAGACCGCCGUGACGGCGCAGGAAGCCAUCACGAGCCCCACGACGGCGAGGUUGCGACCAAGGAACUCUGCGAGAGCACGCGCCUCGGCCAACACCGCCGGGACGACGGGCGCCAGGAUGCCGACGGCGACGAUGUUGGCGCCGGCGAGAACCCCCGCGAAGCAGAGCAGCAAGCCGAAUCCGCCGGCGCCGGAGUUGAAUCCGGCGCUGACGGAGAACAGCAAGAUGGCGAGGCCGGCGAACAUCGCCGUGGUGCCCGGAGUGGUCAUCGUCGGCCGCGUGGCACCGCAGUCCCCUGCUUAAUUGGAGAGGGCCGUCGAGCGAGCAGGCGAGGCACCGCCGCACCGGGGAGGGAAGCGUUGCCGAAGAGGCAAAGAAUGCAGCGGGAGGAGGAGGAGGAUGAGCUGGGCGGUGCGCAGCGGACGGGGAGAGCCGGAGGAGCGAGAUGGUUGGGGUAGGGGAGGCCGGGGAGGGCAUUUAUACCGGGGAAGGGGAGAGGUAGCCGGGCUGGGACGAGGCCUAAAGGUGGCAACGGACAUUAGUUUUAUACCGAGAGGUGGCCGGGCCGCCGGCCCGCCGGGUGCAAAGUCUGAUAAAUGAUGCGUGGGGUCCGCCGUGGUGUCGACAACCCUCACCUGCCGCCUGGGCGUAGGAAGUGUUAAGGAAGUAAGCAAUUACUAGCCAUACACUAUUAAGAUAUAACAUAUUUUUCAAAGAGUAUAAAUAAUUAUAUAAUUUUCUAGAUUUCAAGUGUUCAACAAAUAGGCUCAAACAAUACAUAGAAUAUUGAAGGUAGAAAAGUACUAAAUUAAGAGUCUUUCAUGAAAAAAAAAGAACUAUACAUGUCUUCAUGAAUUAACACCACUUCCACUUGUUCCGACGACCUCAAUUCCACAUAAAAAUUUUCAACAUCUCAGCCCUAUAACAUUAUGUAUUGAAAUAGACUAACACAACACAAGUAAACAACACAACAACACGCACCAUGUUAAUACUAAUUACUACCGGGAUAUUUGAUUCUUAUUUAUAGUGACGAUUAUAUGUCUCUGAAGGAUAUUUGAGAUUUUUUUGUUUAUAUAAGUUUUUUUAAUACUGCCAUGUUGGGGUUGAUUACUGUUCCAAUUUGAUACAAAUUUAUUUUCUGGGAACUUGUCGGAAUAUGUUCCUAAUUUAUUGAUAGGCUUUUGGUUUAGACGGACAAAUUGCAGCUCUCGUUUCUUAAACCUUGAAAGCGCUUUUGAAUGCGGCUGGAGAUUCCCACCGUCGUGUCGUGUCGUGUCGGCAACCGAUGAGAUUGGAUUCAUAUCAUAUUGUUGCGGCCGCACUGCUUCGGAGGAAGUUGAAGAAUUGGAGAAGAAGGUAACGGACACUGGCCGGGCCGCCGUGGUGUCCAGUGGAUGUUUGGGAGGAGAGGGGUAGAGGACUAUGUAUAUCAUAUUGUUAUUGAUGCCACACUUCGUGGGAAACUCUGGGCAUCCCACAUGCGUUCUCUGAAACUCUGAAUAAAAUAUGAUUAAACCAUCCGGCGGCGCGCGCUGCCGUCGUGUCGUCGCCUGCAGCUCACUGGCGUCAAGGACAGCGCGUGGGCCCAGCUCACUGUUGACGCGCGAUGUUGCAGCUCGAGUGAACAUCGCAGUAUCGGCAUUCCACUCAGUUCAGGUCGAUGGACUGGCUGGUGGGGUCAGGUCGCGAGGACCCCGACCCAGUUCAUGAUCUGGGCUGAAACGGGCUGUUUACGUGCUACCGGCCACUUACUGGGCCUUCGGCGCAUUAGAAAUUGGGUUGUGUUUCCCCACGAACUGGGUCCGAAUAGCGGCACAACAUGGAUUCGGGCCCAGCUGGAUGUCGCUUUCCUCUCGCCUGGAAACCUCGAAUGGACACAUUUCCUAGCUGGCGCCAUUCACAAAAUGCAAUAUGAGUGCCUUAAAAUUCAAGUUGAGAUUUUGCAGUACGCCACGAUAACAUAGACAGAAUAUCAAAUGACUUCUCAGGUUAAAGCAGCAGCACAUCAUUCGCACUGUACAAAUAAUCUGCACCAGAAGCCUAACAAAAUCCUAGGCAACAAUGCAUAAUACAUGUCAACACCUAGAAGCUCUCCUUUUUAGCUUCUGCAAUACACACUCCCGGGGAAAGAUUCGCUCAAAUAUACAAGCACAUACCAGUGGCUGCAAGAUGUUGGCCAGUGCACUCUUUUCUGAUAUCAUCCUAGGUUCCUGAGUUAGAAGCACCAUGGUUAUGAACUGCUUGUAAUCUUCUGUUGAUAAUUAAAAAAAAAGGAAGCAUGCUAUCAGCUGUCAGCUUAUUGGUAGUUAGCAGCAGCAUGAUAAAUGGGCUGUGCAAGGAACCACUUGCCCCCAGAGAGCGUCCAGUGUCACGAAUAUUUCUAUUCCACGCAAUACAAGCAAUUUAAUCCCCCCCCCCCCUCUAUUACUCGUAUUUGCAUGAUGCUAAAUUGACAAUACUAAAGUGCAUACUGUUUCAAAUUUUCCCUCCAUUACUUGUAUUUACAUAUUGUUUCGUAAAGGGAAAUUCAUCAUGACUAAAUUGCAUCAUAGGCACAGUGACUAGCAAGGUAAGGUCUAUGACAAACCCCUGACAUCCUUGAUCUGCAAGCCUGCAAUGCAUAUUACUCUAUCUUUUCCAAGUUCAGAGAAUGCAUGCUCACCAUAACAGAAACACAAUAUUCAUACUUUUAGUUGAGAACAAGGGUUUUGCUAAGGUACUCCCAAAUGACUGUGGACCGUUGAUCUAAUAACAUAUUACCUCAUAGGAAGUAAUAUUAUAUCUAUUUUUUAAAUCUGAAAAUAGGAAAAGUAUUUUUCUAUUAGAUCUAACUUCCACACAUGAUUGUACUAUAUCAUAUCUAAGUUUCUUUUUUGCCUCCCACGUGAACAUGGAUGGCGGUUCUGGUUCAAAAAACGAGAGACGAACAUGACACCUUUAUGUGACAUGGAUCCGUUCGAAAAAAAUGUGACAUAAGUCAAGUAAAUGUGUUGCAUGGAGAAAUGUGUCAUGGCCAUCUCUUUUUUUCCCCAUGCGGGUGCAGAUGUUUCGUUUCAAAGAAGAAAUGCAGAUGCAGAUGUUUCGUUUCAAAGAAGAAAUGCAGAUGCAAAUGUUAAAUUGCAUGUCAUGAGGAGAUGUUCAAGUAAACAUGAAGAUGUUCAAGUAUUUUUUUUUUCUCCAUCCAGAUGCGGACUGUUAAAAUGUUAUGAUGUCGGUUGCAACUAAAAGAAAAGAAAUUGCAUGUUCACAUGCAGAUGUUGGACCUGUUCCUCCGAUCCUAAAUUGAAGGAAGCCGUGAUAAUGGGGAGCCGGUUGUUUCUUUUUUUUUGUUGCCUUUUUUAAUAUUAAGGGCCUCAUUAAUUUGAACUCUUACCUCCUAGGAGGUAAUCGGUGUACUGUAGCAUUGCCCUGAGAACAAACCUUUUUUCUGUAAGCUACUGCAGAUCCUACUGAUUUACUGGUGUUUAUCUUUUCAGUAAUUAUUCUAGUGAUGCAGUUUCAAUAUUGUUAGUUGAGAGCAAACCCCUUGUUUGACCUAAGGCAGAUCCUAUUGAUUUACUGAUGUUUUUCCAGUAACCAUCUAGCAAGAAAAAAUGGAUGGUGUGAUGGUCCUAUUGCUACUAAUUGUCUAGCUAAUAAAAUAUGAUAAUGUGAAUGCUCCAACUCCAACAGUGCAAAAUUUUAUUGAGAACUGACAUGUCAAAUAUAAACAAAAAUUCCAAUAAAAAGGAGUAUCUUUAUAAAAAUUAAAUAAGCAAAGAAGGAAACCAACGGAACGACCAAAGUGAAAAUAUUACCUUUCUAUUUAAUCCAAUCUCGAGUACAUACAAGAGCCUCAAUUGUUUUGAUAUUUAAUGUGCUCCAUUGCUUAUGAAUCAUAUUUCCCUCACUGCUCAAUGCAGCUUCACAAUUAACAGCAGAAGCUGGCAUUGCCAGGACAUCACGUGCCAUAAUUGACAGAGUUGGAUACUUUGUAGAAUUAUUCAUCCACCAGUUCAGAAUAUCGAAAUCAUCCUUUCUCGGGACAAGACCAUCUUCAAGGUAGUUGUCAAGUUCUGUCAUUAGUUGGCUCCUUGUCUGU
This 65010-nucleotide long non-coding RNA is filed under the name Setaria italica (foxtail millet). RNAcentral describes it as "long non-coding RNA (SITA_LNC004283)". Lineage: Eukaryota; Viridiplantae; Streptophyta; Magnoliopsida; Poales; Poaceae. The record is from RNAcentral.